Molecule: long non-coding RNA, 62466 nt
Filed under: Citrus x clementina
Lineage: Eukaryota; Viridiplantae; Streptophyta; Magnoliopsida; Sapindales; Rutaceae
Source: RNAcentral
GCUUCAAUCGUGGAAAACCUUCCCCAUCAUCUAAUUCAUGAACAACAUUCUGAACACCCUUCAGUUCUUCUAGAUAGAGAUAUUCAGUUCUCUUCAACAACAGUUUCAUCCUGUAAUUCUGCAAAAGAAUGCCAAACUUUUCCAGCCUCUGGAGCUUCAUCAAUCUUGAUAAUCCAGAUUUAACGGACCAGCUGCUCCCCCACUUAUUUCCUAUACAUAUCCUAUAGGUAGAAGUGUUCUAGCUAUUAAUUUUAUACAUAUCUUCUAUAGGUGUAUUCUAAUUAAUUUCAUACAUCAGAUUUUUAGAUAAAAAUAAAGAAGUAAAAAAAAAAAAUCUUCACAUCAUCUUAAGAAAUUCAAAGCCAUGAUACCACAUCCAAUCACGAGAAUCCAUUUUCCUAUGAUCACUGACCUUUAGGUGCGGUGCUUGGUUUGAAGAAGGGAAAGGGGGUGAGGAAAGUAAUUUGAAUUCCUUUCUUAUUUCCGUUGUUUGGUCGGUCAUAAUAUAAAAGAAUUUAAUUUUCAUUAAAAUUUAAUAUAAUCAUAAUGUGGAAUUUAGAUUUCUCAAUAAAGAGUGAUGAAUCUUGGUUUGGGUCUGUUUUGAGUUUAUUUUCAUUUAUUUGGCUAUGUUUUGAUAGCGAAUUUUGAUAUGUCAAUAUAACGUGUAAUUGUUUUGGGUUGAGCUGGUAAUUAUGCUGGAUUAGAUUGGUUUGGUUUUGGUGCUUCUCUGAUGGAACACUGUUUUUUUUAGAAAUUUUGAAUGUAAUAUGAGACUACAUUUAGUUUAAUUGAACACUGCAUCUAGUCUAAUUACUAGAAGUGCGGCAUUUGGUUUGGUUUAUCCUAUAUUCUCCAGAAUUUCACUUGCAUCUGGUUUUGUUGCAUAUGUUUGCUUGCAUUUGAUGGCAGUAGCAGACUGUUUGGUUUUGUGACAUUUGAUGGCAGUUUGGUCUGUUCUUGGUGUUGGUUUAAGAUUGUUCCUGUUGUGCUGAUGUUAAUUGCAGGUGCUUGAAUCAGCUAGGGUUGCUGGUUUAUUCAGAUGGUUGACUCAGGCGUUGUUACUGGUUAAUUCAGGUGGCUGACUCAAGUUGUUCAUUUAAUGUUAGGAAGCAAAUUAAGAAUUAAUGAAGUAUUCAUUAAACUAUAAUUAUUGUAGUUAUUUUAUUUCAUAACUGAAUUAUAAUCUAUGAUACUUGUGAACAAAUUAGAGAAUUUUUAUAUAUGAAUUAUAUAUAUGUGUAUGUACAUUUUGCUAAUAAUUUAAAGAAUAUAUUUCAAUUCCCACAAAAAAAUGGCUCCAAUUUCAAUAAUUCCCGCCAAAUAAUUAAAUUUUUUUAAUUUACCACCAAAAUAUAUCUUAAAGAAAUUUUAGUUAUUCUUGCUAGAUUUAACAAAAAUGAUUUGUAGGAUUAACAUUUAAUUAAAAUAAUUAAAUAAUUUUAUUAUUCCAAUUAAAUAUGUCAUGUUUAUACGACAGACAAUAUUCAUGAAUGGGAAGUAUUAGUUACGUAUUUUUCCUUGGGAUUUCAGGCAAAUGAAAAAAAGAUUGAGAAUGAUUUCAAGAGGACAGGUGGAUGAUAAGUAUUCAUUUUUGUAUAUUUGUCUAAUGUCCUCAUUAGUGGAUUUUUAUGGUAUUGAUCUUUUUUUUUUUUUUUUUAAUUUUCAAUUAGUUGCAGCCCUAGAGGAAGAGCAGGCUGAUCAAAUUGAUUUGUCUUGUUUUUCGGGCAAUCUACGACAUGAUGACCGUGAUAAUGCUCGUGACUGCUGGAAACUUUCUGAUGGAAAUAACUUUAGAGUUCGUAGCAAGCAUUUUUGUUAUGACAAAACAAAGGUUCCCCCAUAAUUUGUUUGUUUGUUAUGGUAUUUAUAUAUCCUGCAUAGGCUAGGUAGACAAGUUAUGAUGUACGUGUUUCUCAUAUAGAACUCAAGUCUGCUGUUGUCCCAAAGUUGGAACCAGAGAUAUCAUGACUCUGGUUUCAUUUCACCUCAACUGUGUUUUUUUUUUUAAUUAAAAAAAUAUUUGUUUUAGGUAUACAUACAUGUAUUUUGAUUCUAUUUUCAUUGUAAUUUCUCAUUUACUUUGAAUGAAAGUCAUUGGUGUUUUCGAAUGGGAAUUUUGCAUUAAAAAAUGAAGAAUAGUGAAUAGGAAAUUUCUUGAUUCUUUAGUUACUAUUUUUGGUACGAGUGCCAUUAGUAGUAAAGUUGGUUUCUACUCGCAAACAAGUGAACUGCUCGAUUCCCGAGUGGUAUCAACCGGUUUCCAACUUUUUAAUAUACACUAAUUGUUAUUGUUUAAUAGCUACUACUAUUAAAACUCAACAGCUAACAAAAAUACUUAAAAAAAAUGAUUUUUCUUAUGAUGCUGUGAAAAAAAUUACGGGUUUACUUCUUUCCACGAGAUCUAUAACAUGGUCUUGAUUUCACGAAAUUCUUUUAAUUUAAAGCGUGCUGGUGUGAGAAGGUCAGUUUGACUGAUUAAUUCUUUUUAACAGUGGUCGAGAUAAUUUUACUAUACUCGAAAAUAUUCUUAUUCUGAUAAAGCCAUAAAUGUUAUGCUGUUUUCUUCGGCUAAUGAUCUUCUAUCAGGAGAGGUUAGAAAUCAAAUGCUUAAAAGACCAAUUGAACGAAUAAUACAGAAAUUUAGGCAGAAUCUAAUCGAAUAUUGUAUGAAACAUGAAACAUCAAUUCAAGUCCUUUCUUAAACAAAGAAUGCAUCAAACAAAAUCCAAAGUGUCUUGCAAGUUUGUAGCAUGAGCAAAAAAUUGUAAAUAUGUAGAACCAAAUUAUUCAAGUACAGAAGAACGAGCAAGCUAAAUCAUGUAUAAGAGAUUGGCCUGGUUCAGGAUAGCUUCUUCACUGUAGCUGAAGGGUUGGCUCAAUCUCUUCUUUAGAAUUCUGCAGAUUUUGUAAUUACUCGUGUAAGCAAGCAUACAUUGCCACCAUAAGAAUAAUAAAGCAAGAGUAAUGAUAUGACCACCACCUCUUGUGCACAAACAAUAUUGUAUAAACUAAUGCGACAUAAUAUGAUUGGUUAAAUAAAAACAUUACAUGGCCCUCAUAAUUUAUUUAUUUAUUUAUUAUUAUUAUUAUAUAUUUUCAAUCAACCAAUCAUAUUAUAUCACAUUAGUUUCUAUAAAAUAAUUUGCUAAAUAGCACCGAAACUUAAUUGAUACUCACCAUUUCAUUGAACAAUUUUUUUAUGGUGUCAUUGAGGUUGCCUUCCCAACAUCCUUCAUCAUCAUCAUCUUCUUCAUCAUCAUCAUCUUCUUCUUCAUCAUCUUCAUCAUCAUCAUCUUUUUCUUCUUCGGUGACGUUCACUUUGUUUAGCAUUGGUGUGUCUAAGACUCCUUGAGAGAAGAUCUUCAUUUUUGGACACUGUCUCACAACUACUUGUUCCAAGGAUGGGAACUCAAGAGCGUAAUUACCCAAACAAAAGCUUGUUAGGCUUGGCAAACAAUCAAGUCCCAAGUACUCCAAUUUCCUGAAAACAAUGCAAUCGUCCGCUUCUUCUCCAACCUGCGACUGUAUAAUUUCUUCCAUCAUUUUGCAAUCAGUUAUCUUCAUUCUUUCAAGAUUCACUAGACUUUCAGAUGUUGAGAGCGUCAAUAAAUUUAUCAACCCAUGACACUUCGAUACUUCCAGAGUCGCAAGAUUUUCCAAAUGCCACGAAGCUGGUACUAAUUUCUGCAACUUACUACAUUCAAAUAUUUCUAGACUUUUCAAGUUUGCAAACACUUUGUUGGAUUUGGCAUUUUCCUUCCAGAGAUGCUGCACUUUGUGUAAUCCAGAUAGCUUUAACUUCAUCAAUUGAGGGAAUGCAACCUGGAAAUCAACAAAAUUAAGUUGUAAAUGAAAAUAUGUAUCCAAUCUCUGCAGUCUUCCCCUGCAUAUUUUAUGGACAAGAUUAAUCACGGCAUUUUAUAUUUUAUUUCCAAAUUAGUAUGCUUUGCAGUAGGAUCCCAAAUAUAAGUAUCAAAUCGAUUACCCUUUGAAACACAUAAAUGAAAUCUGAUCCUAAAUCCAAUAUGAAUUAGCUAGGAAAACAGAGACCUAACACGCAUAAUCGAUAUAGUUCAUCACCUCCUGUCACUAGGCAUCUAAUUAAUUUGAGACAUUUUUUUAAUUCAUACUAUAAAGUUAGUUAAUAACUACGGUUAUAUUGUUAAACAUGUAUAAAUUAAGACGACGUGCAAAAAGAUGAGUCAUUAAAUUUGAUUUGAUUCUAAUGAAAUUAUAUCUGUGUGAAUGAAAGUGAAGGGAAAAAUAAUAAUAAUGUUACCUUUUCAUCGAAGAGAUGUUGUAUUUGAUUAGCUACCAAGAGGUUCUCUUCUUAUUUUAAUUUUUGAGCUUCCUUAUUAUCUGUUGUCAUGUGCAGUACAGAUGUAGAAUUGGACAUGAAUGUUUCCAUAUCAGGGCAAUUCUCAAUAGUUAGAUAUCUCAACUCAGGCAGUUCAAUUAUAUUCCCAGUGAAGUUGCAGAAUCUUUUGAGUUUUGGAAGGUCAAUGAGCCUUAGCUCAAAAAGCCUAGGAAACAGGGGGCCUAUAUGUUCUUCCUUGGCAUUUAGCUCUUCCAAAUGAAGCACCUCUUCUAGUGAAUCACAAUUCCUCACUUCCAGCCAUCUCAAAUUGUUCAAGCACCGUAUCAGAUUGGCAGGAAUAGCACUCGACAUAUUCGUGCGGUCAUCCACCACCAGGUGUCUUAAAUUGUUGAAGAAGCUGACAGGCAGUGCUUGGCCAUGCGAGAGUUGCAAAUGGUUUAUAUCAAGGAAUCCAAUCUGCACAAACCAAAACAAUUGCACUGGAUAUAUACAAUUUUUUCUUUCUGAAAGGCAUAGAUAUAUGUACAUUAAACUUACAUGUUUUCUGCUUUAACUUCUAAAAAUAUAUAUACAAGGCAGGUGUAUAUGCUUAAAUGUGCAAGUGCAGGGGAGAUGCAUGAACAAUUUGGGUGAAUCGAUUAACACAUACCAUCUUUUUGUAACAUAUGUUUAAAUGUGCAAGCGCAAGGGAGAUGCAUAAGCAACUUGGAUGAAUCGAUUAGCACAUACCAUUUCUUCGUAACACUUUUGUAUAGUGGAAUUAAGCUUGUUGCCUUCCCAAUGGUGCAGUUCACCCUCUUCCUUUUCAGUCACUUGCACUUUGCAUGGCUUUGUAAUGGAUAAGAUUCCCUGAGAAAAAGUCUUCAUGUCCGGACAACGUAUCAUAGAAACUCGUUCCAAUGAUGGGAAUUCAAGAGUGCAAUUCUCCAAACAAAAGCUGGUAAGCCUUGGUAAAUCAUCAAGUAUCAAAACUUUUAAUUCGCUGAAAGCAAUACGAUUCUCCUUCACUUCUUCUCCAACAUGUCCUACGAUUUCUUCUAAUUUUUGGCAAUCUGAUACUUAAAGAUUCACCAGACUACUAGGAAUUCCAACCUGAAAAUAAGCAAAAGUGUGUGUGUAAGAGUAUCAUUCAACUAGGUCCAAAGUAUGUUUAAAACAUACAAUUAUAUGUUAACAUAACAAACCAUGAAAUGUCUACUAGAUAAUUUUUGUUAAACAAAAAAGGCAACAAGAUAAAUAAAUAAAUAAAAGCCAGAUAAACAAAGACAAUAAAAAUGCAUUUACACUAUUUAGUAUUAGGAGCGUAGAAAGAAUUUAAGGCAAUUUCUAAAUAUUUUAGACUUAUUUUGCAUCUUGAUGCCAGUUUUUAAACAAAAUUUGCAAAUUUCAACUAUUCCUUCUGGGAAAAAAAAAAAUCAACCACCAACAAAGUGUUGGCUCCAUUGGCAAUGGAGUCCCCUUAAGUGGUUUGACUGGGUUUGCUCCCCAGUUCGAGUCGCAGGGAAGUCGCCUUUGUUGGGAGAACUUGUGCCUCCCGGUUCGAGCGGGGACUUCUAGUCUGGGUUGUGGUACGGGCUUAAAGGUGCCUUCCACAGUUGGGGCCCUCCCCAGGAUACCUCGUGAUUAAUAUAAAAAAAAAAAAAAAAUCAACCAAAAUGCCGCUUUUUCCCUUUUUCCCUUUUUCCUUGGUCCCUUUUUUUUAUGUAUAUUUAAUUUUGGAAACAAAAUUAAAGUGGAUCUUUAUUAAGUACUUCUAGACUCGAGGAAAUUUCUUUACAAUCAAGGAUCAAUUGUAAAUAAUCAUGAAUUUGUGGUUAAUUAAUGGCAUAAUCAGUUCGUAACUAAACAAGAGAUAUUAAUUAAAUUUGAAAACUUUUCUUUUCUUUUUUUCUUUUUCCAAUCGAAAUGUGAAGAAUUAAGGAAAAGAGAAAUAUAUAGAUGAAUUUGUGAACCUAUAAGAUGAGUGACCAUCCUUUAAUUUUUGAAAAUUGUACUUAUUAAGAUAUGAGCAGAAACAAUUAAAUUGAAUUAUAUUAUGCUGUUGAAUCGUGAUUAAAAAAAUUAUAUUGUUGAUUCUAAUGCUGGCGAACCUAAAAACUGGACUUAAAAUGUAGAUUUGAGAGUGGUGGUUCGAAGUACAAUACUUGAAAUAAAUAAUCAGUGGCUGAAUAUCAUUUGUAAACCCAAAAAUGGUUAAAAUAUUGUUGGAUGUAAUUAAAAAAAAAAAGAUUCGAAAUGAAUACAACAACCUUACCAAUGGAGGAAAAAUAUUCUUUAGGUUAUCACACCACCAUAUGUCCAAAUUCUUCAAUUUGCUGAAAGACUCCGAAGCAAGCUGGUGGUGCCAUAUUUUUCUCAAACUAUCCAUCAAGUCAAUACGUAAUACCUCCAACCUAGGAAGUCGUACUUGGCAGUUAAAGAUUAAAUAACUAAUUAAUCAAUUAAUGGCAUAAUCAAUUGAUAACUAAAUUAGAGGCGAAUAUUAACUAAAUUUGAAGACUCAAGGAAAAGACAAAUUAAGUAUUGGGACUAAAAUUAAUUUUUUUUUUAUUUUAAAAAAAACCUUUUCGUCAAUGAGAGGAGGAGGUUGCAUUUCAGAAUGAAUGGUGUCUUCUGGUGAGCUCGUAGAAAUGAAUCUUAACAUAUUACUGCAACUAUCAAUCUUGAGUAUUUGCAAAGAAGGGAAUUCAACAACUAAAUCUGAAUGAAUAUGUCUCGUGUUUGCAAAGCUUGUUAGUUUAAAAAGCCCAUAGAGCUGCAGGGAGUGUAGUUUAGGAAAAACCUUUAAUUCAAUCAACUUUCCUUCAUCUCUUUCUGACCACCCCGUGGUGUCGACUACCCCUUUCAUUGACUCACAAGAUCGUAUUUCAAGAUGUUGGAGUUGCAAAAGACUAUUAACCAUAGAAUACGAAAACAGAUACUUCAAAUGAUCACAACCGUCCACGAUCACCUUUGUUAAAUUUUGACAACAGUACAUUCCUUGAUUAUGAUCGGCCCAUAAUUUUUUCAUGUUUCCUAAAUGAAAGAGAUUCAAUUCCUCUAAGCUCGGAAGAAUAACCUGCAAAGAAAACCCGUACAUUUUUGUUCCUUCAAGUACAACCGUCUAGUAUAAUAUUCUUUUGAUGAUCGAAGAUUAAUCGUGAUAAUAAAUUAAUCAAUUAAUUAUUGAACAGAAAAUUAUCACCUUUGGAGCAGUAUCAUCAUCAGCAAUGAUUUCGUUGAAUCCCAAAGAAGUUGUUGGUUUCUCCCUGUCGGGUCCUAUAAACAAACAAAAACAAUACACAUAAUUAAUCUUUGUCGUUGUUUUUUUUUUCAAAAUAAUUGAGGCGAAGUCCAUAAAUCCACCAACACUUAAUUUCAACACUUACCAACAAUCAUUUCCAGAUCAUCGCAAACAAACACUUCUACCUUUUGAAGCCGCAGUAGGUUUUUUGCCAUGGAGAAUGAGAAAAGAUGCUUCAAUUUGUGACAGGAUUGUACUCCUAUAAUCCUUAAGUUGCUGAAAGAUUGAUCUUCUGUGAGUUGGCUAUCACAUAUUGUCUCCAACUUGUUCAAAAACCAAAGAGACAAUGACUCCAGCAAGGGAAAGACUGUACAAUGAACCCGUCCAACUGAACCGACAAUAAGCAAAAUCUCAGAACAACUUUCUACACGAAGAUGCUUCAAUCGUGGAAAACCUUCCCCAUCAUCUAAUUCAUGAGCAACAUUCUGAACACUCUUCAGUUCGUUUAGAUGGAUCUCUUCAGCUUCUUUCAGCAACAUUUUCGUCCCAUAAUUCUCCAAAAGACUGCUAACAUUUUCUAGCCCAUCGAGCUCCACCAUUCUUGAUGUUUCAGAAUUAACGCCCCACAUGCGCCACGCUUCUCCUAUACAUAUCUUAUAUCUUUGCAAUUCCACAGAGACUAAAUCCUGCGGCAGAAUUUGGGCAUCCCAAAAUUGUAUCUCCAAAGUAGUUAGCUUUGACAGCCCCUUCAAUUCAGCAAGACUGGCGGUACUUCCUCCUUCAACCUUAUCCCACUGCGAAAAGCUGUCACCCAUAUAUAGUUCUUCUAAUUGAGAAAAUUUUGAUAUGAGAUUUGGUGCUAUCACUACAAGGCUCCUACAAUUGCUCAAAUCUAGCAAUUGUAACCGCGUCAAUUGUCCAAUUUCAAGUGGUAACUGCUUAAUGUCGGAAUCUCGAAAGCUAAGAAUCUCUAAUUUCUUUAGCUGUCCAAUUGCAGCUACAUCUUCUAGUUGGCACCAGUCUAAACACAAUGUUUGAAGGUUAAUGAGGCGACCAAGUGAUGAAGGUAAUGAAGAGAAAGGAAUUCUAGUAAGGCUUAAAACUUUGAGUUCUUUCGUCCCUUCAAAAAAGAGGUCUGAAAUUUGCAUACGGCCAUUACCCUCUGCAGACAACAAAAAUAACUGGAGAUUGGGACAUUGCAACCUUUCAGGGAGCUCUUGAAUAUCUCUCUGGGGUAAUGAAAUGGCAAUUGGAUCUUUCCGUAUUGUCUCUUCCAUCUUUUUCUCUAAGUCGGCAACAUUUGGAAUAUUAAACAUGCGCUUCUCUGCGGCAAUUGAUACGGCAACAACAUGAAUGACGUCAUGCAUUUUAGCUUCAUCUUCAGCAUCACCGUCCAACAAUAAGCAUGAAGAUUUGAGGUUGUCGAUCAACCGAUGCACUCUACUCCUUGCUUCUUCCAAUGUGUAAACAUUUUCAAACAAACCCCAACCCACACCAUAUCUCAAUAAGUCAGAAACUUGUAUGGCAUGACCUUCACUGUAUAGACCACAAAGACGGAACAGAGAUUUUGCCUCCUCACUUUCCAAGAAGUCAUGACUCAAUUUUAUGGAGGUGUACACAUUUGCUUGCAUGCCAUGAAUUUCUCUUGCAUCCGAUCUUCUUAGCUGAUUCAAUGCAUCUUUCCAAAAGUCACGCUCCUUAGUUUUCAGAGCAUUUGCAACUGUACUCAGUGCAACAGGCAAACCUCCGCAUCUUUCAAUGAUCUCAUUUGCUAUACUUUGAAAAGCAGAUAUUUUAGUUGAAUCACCCACUAUCUUCUCAAAUAACUGCAAUGCUUCUUCUUUUGAUAAAGCAUCGAUCCAGAAAUUUUUCUGAGAAUUCAUAUCAAUGCACAAUAAAUCUCGACUUCUAGACGUCAAUAUUAUUGUGCAUCUUCUCUGAUCAUCCUCUCUAUCUUUCUCAUCAACAUCUCCAGAAGGAAUUCCAACCGCAUCUAACUCAAGUUUUGUCCAAAUAUUAUCCAAUAUAAUGAGGACCCGCUUCUCUUGCUUCAACCUUUCACGCAGUCGAGAAGCUCUAUGGUGUAUACUAUCAUUCAAGUCAAAUUUCAUGCCUAAAUCAGAAGCGAGCUUGUCUUGAAUUUUCUGGGGAUCUGGGUUCUGUAUUACCUCAGCCAUAACGACCUUAUCGAUCAACUUAUCUUCCAUCACUUUCUUAGCAACUUGCUUGACUAGCGUGGUUUUACCCACGCCGCCCAUGCCGUAGACCCCAAUUAUGUUGAGCUUAUCAUCCUUCAACGCCUCCAUAACAUCCUGAAAUACUUUCAUUCUUGAAUCAAAGGCCUCGUUAUCUUUCCCGUCAUUAAGUCCUGUGCUCUUUGGAGUAGGACGGUAGGAAACAUUAGAGAAGUUGCCUUUUCCCACGAGACCAGCGGCAGCUUCUGCGGCCUUUGCUGCUUGUUUACUAAGCUUGUAACGGGACAUCAAAUUUGGGCACAAUCCUUUGAAGCAGAACUUUUUAGCUCUUUCUUCAUCAUCAAUGAUGGAUUUUGCAACCCCUUCACUGAUGAAUUCAUCAACGCUAUGUAGCCAGUCUGUGACACCCUCAUAAAGCUCAUCCCCUUGUAGCCUAGCAUGAUUAACUGGUUGCUGCACCAUUUCUCUCUUAUAUCCCAGCUGCUUCACUUGAACUUUUAGCUCAUCUAUGUAGCUCUGGUACUUGAACACAUCAGAUAUCUGCCGUGUAAUCGGGUUGAACAGUGACUUUGCACCUUCUGAUACACAGUUGGUUAAAAAAGCCAGACACGCUUCUAUAGCCAUUGCCGGUUGCUUAACAAUAUAUAUCUAGUUUUUGGCUGUUGAAAAAAAAAAUGGAUUCAAAUAAAUUAAAUGAACUAGCGGGGAAGAAAAAGAAAGAAACGACAACAAACAACUUUUUAGAAAAAGGUUUCAGGGGCCUGAAUGGAAAACCAACAAUUUUUUGAGGAAAGAAAACUUUUUUGGAAGAUGGAUGCAAAUUAACCAUUAAUAAUACUGCAUAAGAACACAGAAGUUAACAAUAAACAGUAACUUAAAACUCAAGAAAAUUAAAUGACAAGAUUAAGACAAACAAGAGAUAGUUUUUGUCGGACAUUAAGAAACAACUGCUAUCAAGAUCAAAGAUUAGAAAUUAUGCUAUUGAAAGAAAUUAUUAAAGUAAUUAGAACAAACGCACCUCUUCAAUUAUCUAGGAUCACAGAGUUUAUGAGCUUCACUCUUGGCCUUCGAUUUAUAAGAAAAAUUUUAAUGAGCAAAAGAUCACUGUUGACUGCAGAAGAAUGUGAGUAAGCAAUACAAUUGAAUUGUAAAAGAACAAGACUUAAAGCGUGCACCCCAACAGAACACAUGUUCAUUUUUAACAAAGUGAUCAAUAACUAUAUUCGUUAUUUAAUUGAUAUUGUAACCAAUUCUAAGAGAAUAUAAUAAUCAGCAAACAAACAACAUUGAUCUUAUGCCUACUGAUAUUUAAACAGAGAAUUCUUUCUUCUUUUUCUCUUCAUGGAUUAGAGUUUUUGCUAUUAACAGAAUGGUUUCAAGGGUCUGAAUAAAAUCCCAGACUUUUUUUUAACUUUGUUUUCUGUGGGAAAAUGGAUUCAAAUUAACCAAAGCCAAUAAUAAGAUCACAGACUUUAACAAUGAACAAUAACUUAAGCAAAACCAAUGACAAGAUUAAAACAAACCAGAGAAAUUUUUUCUCGGAAAGUAGAUGAAAAGCAAGUAAGAACUGCUAUUAAAGGAUAUUAUUAAAGGAUUUAGAACAUGUAUACCUCUUUAAUUAUAUGGGAUCAGAGAAUCGAUGACCUCCACUAUUCGCUUCGGAUAUUAAGUAAGAACUGCUAUUAAAAGAAUGAGUUGAUGAGAGUAAUAACAAUGAAUUGCAAAAUAGGAAGACUCAAUCAUGCACCCCUUUUAUACCUGAUCAUAUUAAGAAGUCGUUAAAGAAUAACGACUAAAUUAGGAAUUAAUUCUGAAGUUCAGAAUCAAGAACAGAGACGAAGCUUUAAUAAAGCAUGCAGUGAGAUACAAGAAAUGGAUCUGAUAAAAUACAUUAAAAAAAUUUGUUCAACCUAGUUAAGCUGAUGAAAGCACUAGUUGUUGGCUCUACGUUUCAUAUGUUCUAAUGAAAUAAUUAAGUUGAAGUUUUCAACGAAUAAAUACCUGUUUCGCUUGAAUAGCUUUGGCAUAUACAUUACUUGUGUCCUGUGAAAUUGAAAAGGUUAUUGAUUUACAAAGCUUAUUAGUAGAGAAAAGCUACGUAAGAUGCCUGAUAAAAGAUAAAGCAAGAGCUUGAAUGAAGAAUGACAUUUUAGAAAGAAACUAAAGUGUAAUCAUCAAAGUAGGAUCAAUAAUGUACCACUUUCCUUGCAAAUCUGGUGGGUUUUCUGAAUAGAUUUUUACAUUAUUCUUCUAUUUAACCAUUUUGGCUUUACCCUAAGCAUUCUUGGUUGGCAUUGUCCUGUAAUCUGCGUGCCCUGGAUACGUGAGAGGGAAUGAUGAGGGUAGAUAUGCAAUUUCAAGAAGCGAUUUGCUUGUAUAAUUCAAUGCAUGGAAAGAGAUGUACCUGACCAGAAAAAAAAGGGGACCAUCCAUAUCUGAGCUUGACUUUUUAGAUAGAUAAAUAUUCUUAUUACUGUUGAUAAUGGAGAAGGGUUCUACUUUUACUUUGCCAUCUUUGAUAUAAAACAGCAUGAUUCCUUUUUUUCAAACACUUGCCUAAGUCUAUUUUUUAUUUUUCUUAUUUUCAGAAAGAGAUUAGCUUAAUUUAAAUUAUAUUCAAGUACAAAGUGUUAUACACUCAUAAAACGACAAAUAGGCAUGUAUUGAUCACGCGCAAUCUGUUUUUUUUCCCCCUUUUUUUUUUAAUCCAGUCUUCUUAUUUAAAAAAAAGAAUUUAUUUGCUUUAUUUUAAAUUAUUUUUUCAUGCGGUAAAUGCAAUACUGAGUAAUGGGUGAGCAAAAUAUUUACAGGCACACCCCCUUUUAAUGAUUUCGUACUAAAAUUAAAAAUUGACGAUUCCAUAAUAAAGUUCAAAGAGUAACUGAAGACCCAUAAAUGUUUUUUGGUCAUGAGCAAUUUUUGAGUUGGGACAGCACUCCUAUGAAAAAAAAUAGUUUUUUUUUUCUUUAAGCAUGAGCAUAUUAAUUCUUUUUUUAUAAAUCAACGUGAAUAUAAAAUUAAAAAAUAGUUUUGAAUAACUUCUUUUCUUUUUUCAUAAAUAUAGAUAUAAAAUUUUAAAGUCACCAAACACAAAACCAGGAAAAUGGAAAGGAAGCCCCUGUUUCUCCGCUGCUGCAAGCACAAAUUCGGUUUCUACAGGAGUACCUUCUAAAUGCACCAUUUGUAUUGCUUUGUCUCCACUUGAGCUAAUGGAAUUUGAUGAAGACAAAAUAGAUAUGAGUCGUGCUAUUCACACCCCUCGAUAAUUCUUUCAAAAUCCCUUUUCUAAUUAUACCCCGUUAAUACCCUUGUUCGCUAUGAAAAUAAAGCAAAUGCCUGUAUAAAAAGCUGGCUCUAAUAAUCUACUUGAAUUUACAUCAGAAAAGAGUGGACUUUGAGAAAUAAGAAGUCAAUAUGGAGAAUUUUACCAAAAUAAUCCAUUUUUAUAUACAGGGAAUGGUAUUUUCUGAUAUAGGGAGGAGUGGAGAAAUUAAAUUCAGCAAAAUAAAGAACCUCCAUCGAGAAGCAAAAAUGAUGAUAUCUUUGUCGUGAAGAGAUUUCUGCCUCAUACAAAUUUUUUAUUCUAGAAUGCUUGAAACCGAAAAGUUCUGUAGCUGUUUCAAUUCAAUUGCAUACAUUGACGAAACAUUAAAUACGAAAAAAACAAAAAAGAAAUAAUAGGACAUGGGGAUUUAGAGAACUUCUAAAGAGAGAAAUGUAUUUAUUGUUGGGAAAAUAUGCUCUUUAAAAGCAUAUGUGUUUAUUUAAUUGUAAUAAACUAUUUUUCUGAUUAAUAAAAUAAAUGAGGCAUUUUAUUCAAAUAUCUUAAUUGCAUUAAUACUUGUAUUAAAGUCCAUUUAAUCAUAUUAUAUGUAUUUAUGUGAUCACCAUGUGGAUUCACAGAAGACAUAAAUACAAGUUAUCUUAUGAUUAAAUAAAUUUAGUUCGCAGUUGAUAAAUAAAGUUGGGCACUUUAUUUAGGUAUAGACUGUAAUAAAUUCAUUGAAUGAUUUGUCUUAAUUAUGUAUGAAUUUAUUGAUGUAGUACGACUACAUUGAACAGGAUCACAUAUGAGAUUUAAUUAACUUUGUAAUAACUGUCAGACUUAUUAAAUCUCAUAGGCAUUGAUUUUACUGUAAUCUUAAUCUUGAGUUAAUUAUGAUUUCAUGAUUGUAAUUGUUAUUCCAUUUGAGUUACCAAUGGGCAUGACACAUACUUGUAGUCUACAUUACCCGGUAUCUUGGUGGGAACAAUUAUGAGUAUUGGAGUUAUGGAUUAACAAUAUAGAAUUUGUACAACACAUCUCUUGAUGGGUUUUCGGUACUUGAUCAUAGAAUUCUCUGGCCAGAGUGUGUCAACAUAUUUAGUAUGUUGAAAAUGAUCAUUAGAGAAAACCAGUAAGGAUCAAGGAAUAAGAUGUUAUUAAAUUGAUUGGACAGUUGAGAUAUCAAUUUAAUUAACGAUGUGGUACAAAGGAUUGUGCAGUAAAGAAAUCAAUGUGGCUUGGGACGAAUUAUUAUUCGAGCAUACAAUUAUGGAAGUCAGUUCCAAUCUUUUAGUGGAGUAGAUUUGGAAUUAAAUAAUUAGGCUAGUUUAAUUACAGGUAGGGAUGGCAAUGGGGAGGGGAGGGGAGGGGACCAAUCUCCCUAUACCCAUCCCCGAUAUUUUAUUAUGUCCCCGUCCCCUCUCCGUCCCCGUCAGAAUUGCUUAAGUGAAUCCCCAUCCCCUCCCCGAAUAAUAACAGGGGAUCCCCGAGGGUCCCCGGUUCCCGAAUAAUUAAUAGUCUAAUACAUUUUUUUUUAUUUUCGAUUUUAAAUUAAUCAUAUUAAAAUAAAAAAUUCAGAUAAAAAUAAAGUUCAAAAUAUAUCUUGCAUUAAUAUUGAUCAAUUUCAAAGUCACAUUCAAAAUAUAAAUUAUUAAAAUAAUUAUCUUUGUCAAUGACUCAAUCUUCAUAAUCCUACAAUAAAAAGAAAAAAAAUUAUUUUUAUAUCGGUAAUAAAAUAAAUGUAGAUACUUAAUUAAUAUUUUUAAUAAAACUAUUUACUUCCUGCUCCUCCUGUUCUUCCUCGAGAAAUGUGGCAAAUUGAGAGUUAGCCUCAGAUUUCAAACCUAAAACAAUGAAAAUGAUAUGAGUAACGUAACUUAUAAGCGCAAAUAUUAAUAACUGUAUAAUAUAAUUACAAUGUAAAAUAAAUUCAUACUGCUAUUGUAAGCUCGUAACCAACUUUAACAGCACAUUAAGGCCUCCAAUGUGCUUGGAUGAAGUUUGUUACGGUGUGGGCUCACAAUUCUAGCACUAGUGCGAAAAGCUGAUUCAGAAGCAACUGUUGUAAUUGGAAUUGCCAAAAUAUCUCUAGCAAUUCGAGCUAAUGUAGGAUACAAAUUAGGAUUAGAACUAUUGUAAAUUAUAAUUAGGCAGCUCUCUCCUGUAUCAUUGUGGUUUGGAUUAAAAAUUUAAGACUUUAAUUAGUUAAUUAAGUUUAAAAGUUUAAUAAUAUAACUAUUUUAAUAUUUAUUAUUUUUAACAAUAUUUAUAAUUUUGUUAUUUAUUUAUUAGUAAUUUUAAAAAUAAAAAUAAAAAUAAAAAUUAAAAUGGGGAAAUGGGUAGGGGAUGGGGAUUCCACCUCAUCCCCGUCCCCUCCCCGAAUAAAAAAUUGGGUAAAAAAUUUUCCCCGUCCCCUCCCCGAAUAAAAAAUUGGGUAUAAAAUUAUCCCCGUACCCUCCCCGAAUGGGGAAAAUCCCCGAGGGUACCCGUCCCCGUGGGGAUUUUUGCCAUCCCUAAUUACAGGCCUAAUUAUUGUAGCCACUAUUGUAUGUUCCCAAAUGAUCCCCGGGUUAGCUCAUUUAAUUGAUUGCACCACUGCUGGACUAAUAAGCAAGAUAACUAGCUAUUUGGGCCAAAAGCCUAAAUAUAUCAUUUAGUGGGAGGCUCCAUUUAAUAAGCUUAUGUGUAAGGGGCCUUAUGUUAUUUUACAUGGUGGGUCCCCUAUUAAAUGAAAAGUAACGUGAGUUUUAUUUUGGGGAAUCCUUGGAGCCUAGGGUUUUCACUAAAGGGAGAUAUAUAAGGCUUAUUUUCCCAAAAAAGAAAAAGAGAAGCCACUUUAUACAGAUCUGAGAAAAAGAUUUUUCUCUCCAUUGUUGAGAGAAAAAUUUUCUCGUGCUAGUUGCUUUGGUAGUGAUAAAGGCGCCCACACGUCAAGUGCAGAUCGAACCUGAGUCAUAACCUGGAAGAUCAUUGGAAACAGUUCGUGAUCUAACAAGCGUGGUGGUGACGGAUCGUGAUCUAACAGGAGUGGUGGUGGUGGAUCGUGAUCUAGGAGCCUAAAUCACUUCAGCGGUAAAAGCCAACUCAGAUUUUCAAGGUACGAUUUCUAGAAUACAAAUUCUUAUAUAUUAUAUGAGAGCGAUCUUCAAAAGGUUUUAUAAAAAUUCAAAAACCUAAUUUUUCCCCAACAUUUAUAAGCAUUGAAAAUUAGCUCAUUAAAUUUGAAAGAAUAAUAUACAAUCUCACUGUUGGCCAGAAAAUAAUAGAAGAACUUGUGAACAUAUAUAAUCAAUUGCUUAUUACUUAAGCUUUUUCUCCGUUAUUUUGAAUGGGUGCAAAGGAGAGAAGUUUUGUACCCAAAUCCAACCCGAAUUGUGUAGGCUGCUUGCAAGAGCUUCAUUAGAUUUUUAUUUGUCUUUUAACUUAACUUCCUUCGUGGUUAAAAUUGUAAAAACAAAUGCGGUUUUAAUAGAAUUAUUGAGGAGUGCCAAUAGUGCUACUCAAUAAAUACAACUAUCUGUCUUUUUUGUUACUGGACUAUAGAUCAAUUGACAGUUGAAGUUAUAUUAAUUUGUUGUACUGGAAUUGAAGCUUGUAUCUUAGCCAUUUCGUGAAGUGUCAAAUAUAUUUUUAAUUUCCUUAAAAUUGUUCAAAAUAUGUUUACACUUUUAAAGUCACUAUUAUACAUGAGUGCCCUAAAAUAAGAGAAGGCGAUUUGCCUGACAUUACCUGUUUCCUGUCAAAUCUAGCAGGUUUACUGAUUAGAUUUUAACAAGUCUCUUGGCAAAGUUUGCUAGAAAUGGAAUCAAAUUAUUCUAUUUAAUCUUACUGUAUAUACCCUAAUAGUUCUUGGUUUGCAUCACUGCAUCGUUCUAUAAUCUGUGUGCGUUGGCUUAUAAGGGCUAGCAAGGCUGACCGUUCGUAGCAUAGUUUUUUUUUUUUUUUUUUUUCCCACAAUGAAAUUCCCAUUGAUUUGACUCAGUAUUUAGAGGUGUUAACGAGGGCACUAUACUAGACAUGGAUUUCUACCUCUUUUGGUUGUACAAUUGUUGUAAUCCUUGGCCAUCAAAUCAUUUUUACGUAGCUUUCUCAGAGUUCAUGCCAAGUGUACAUUAAUGUAUUUAUGUUUUGGGUGCAAGUGGGAUUCUAGUUCUCUAUGGCAGUUGAAGAGGUAAAUGGGCAUAGAGCUAUGCUCUAUCAUAGGCUUCGGCCACUACAAGAAAUUUAAUUUUUUAAGACGAUAUUUUUUACAACAACUUUAAAUUUGGUCACAAAAUGAUAUUUAUUGUGACAAAUUUUUGAAAUCGUAGCUAAUAAUCUUGUCCUAACUUAUAUUGUUUUUUGUAACCAAUUGUUUUUAUUUUGAGACUUGUUCAUAUAUUGGUCAUUAAUUAAAUUUUUUUAUGACAAAAAUUAUUUUAGUCACCAAAAGAUAUAAUUUUUUGGCACAAAAUCUUCUCUCCAAAAGUGAUUAUUUUGAGACAAUAUUUCACUAUUUAUGACAAAAUAAAUAGUCACGAAAUAUAAUUAUAGGCGACCAAAUUAUUUGGUAACUAAAAGAGGGGUGUAAAAUUGACUAAACAAUCUAUGACACAAAAUAUUAGUAGCCAAAAUUAUUGUUCUUUUGGCUAAUUUUAAGACCAUUUUUUUGUCAUAUAUAAUUACCUACAGUGAUAAAAUUAAAAAAUAGUCGUUGAAUGUUUUGUCUUGAAUAAUUUUAUAUUUGAUAACCAAUUUUUUUUCUUUUUGAGACAUAUUACUUGGUCCCUAUUUCAACUUCUUUUUGACGAACUUUAUAAUAGUCACAAAAGACUUUUUUUUUUUUUUUGGGCAUAAAAAGUCUGUCCAAAGUUAGCUCUUUUGGGACAAUAUAUAAUCUUUUAUGACAAAAUAUAUAGUGGCGAAAUAUAAUUAUUUUUUACAAAGUUAUUUCGUAGCUGAAAAAGAGGUGUAAAUUUAGUUAACCUAUUUGUGACAUAAAAUAUUAGUCUCCAAAACUAUUAUGCUUUUAGCUAAUUUUAAGACCCUAUUUUGUUGUCAUGGAUAAUUACCUAUUUUAAAAAAAACUAAGAGAUAGUAAUCAAAAGUUUUGUCUUGAUUGACAUUGUAUUUUAUGAGCAAAAUAUUUUGUUUCAGUGACACUUUACUUGGUCUCUCAUUAGAGUUGUUUGUGAUGAUCAAUAGAAUUAUAUAAUAACCACUAAAUUUUUUUGGGUUAAAUUUUUAUAGAUACUAUUAAUUAAGUUGUUGACGAAAAUGAUCAACCAAUACUAAUAUGGAAUACCAUCAACAGCCGUAAUACUUAUGAAGCGAGAAAUUAUAAUAUGUAGUGAAAAAGUUUUCACAGUAGUCCCUAGUAUUUAGAAUUAUUUUGACUUACUUUAUUUACUUCCAAAACAUAAAAUUCUCAACCCAAAAUUCCCCGCAUUGUGUUUUAUUUUGUCUCCUCACUCAGUUAAGAGUAACUCACGGCUUGACAAAAAAAAGGAAAAAAAUUCUCACAGCUUGAUGUUCUCCUCUCUUUAAAAAUAAAAAUCCCUAGUUACUAUUUGUUUCCACCACCAAAGCAGCCACUCGUAUCUUUUAUUAAGCAUAAUAUUUUUCUUAAAACCUAAUUGAUCAUUCUUUAACGUCUCCAGGAUUAUAUAUGGCUCGCUAUUUUUCUCCUUCAAUUGAAUAGAAGUCUAGAAUUUUUUUUUUUUUCGCAAUUCACUUUUGCUGUGUUUCGUGGUUUGGACGGAGAUCAUGUCAAUAAUUGAACGAUGGGGAUAAAUAUCAAAGAAGGAGCUUACAUGCCCUAUAUAUCUCUCUUUGGAUGAAUAACGAUGGUGAGCUUUCAAAGUACAGAGAUUUACAUGUUUUAAUUGUCAUUUACAUUGCUGCAUGCCAAUUGUUUGAUAAAAUAUCGCAACAAAUACGCAUUCUCGAUUUUCUCAUAAAUUUAUUUUCUUAGUCUGAAAAAAAUUGAAUGUUUAGAGAAUUUUGAAGGUUUUGGUGUAUGUAUUAAUAUUUUGAUUCUAGCCUCAUUUUGCCCCUUGUUGUUUUUAUUCUUGUUUUUUAUAUACGGUUCAAGUGUGAUACACUUUAGUUUUUCUCAACUGUUUGUUAGUUUUUCCCGAAGCAAAAUUUGUCAGACUUUGAGUUCAAAAGUUGAAAUCAUAACUAACAUACUUCGAUUUUUUAUUUUCCUUUUUUCUUCGGUGUCUUUCUAUAUGGCAUUGCUUGAGAAAUUGGUGUACUUAGAUCGUAAUAUUCUGUAGAAAUAAGCCAAUAUUUCAUUGGGUACAUUGUUUAAUAUGAUAAGUACUGUAUGGAAGUUUUACAGAUAAGCUCCUUAUAUAUUAUGCAUUAUGUUUUUAUCAUAUUGUUGCUUGGAACUUUGAAGGAUUGGCCACAGGGCUUUAGUCCUACAUGGACAUUUUAUAUUUAAUAGCUGGUUAGGCAUUUUAUUUGAUGUUAUUUGGACUUGUAGGUCUUAAAAGUUUUGUUCAAUAAUUUUAUAAAGCUUAAUUUCAUAGGUGCUGAUUAGGCAUUUCACGAGGAAAUAGCUGUGCUUUUGGAAAUUAAUAUGCUGUGUUGUCAAUGUUGUGUAAAAUCCUUUUAUUGGUGUCUAUGUAAAGUGUUUCAGAUUUCAGACCUGAGAGUUAAUCUUCGCGUACCAGUUGGCUUUUGGGUUUAGUAUUGCUGCUUUUAACAUAUUUGACCUAUGGCCCAAAUCAUUUCUAUAGGGCGAAGCAUAUGAAUGAUACAUAUUAUCUUUUUUUGGCCUUAUGUAUUGUUAUUUGCACGGUGAUUUGGUCUAGCUUAAGAGCUUAAGCUUGCAGGUUGGAUUUGUCUGACAGGGAACAAUUUAAUUUGUUCAUCGUGAUGUUUAUAUCCAUUUUGUACUACUAUCAAUUUCAAUCAUGCCUAAUUUUUAUAUGUAUUUCUCGUGGACUCUCAGGUUCAGUGCACAAGAGGAUGAAGACGAUGGACACCCAAAUUUGAUGUGGAGAACAACUAUUGCAAAUGGUCCUUGAUUUACUUCUCCAAUUGACUUGAAUUGGUUUUACGCAAUUUAUAGUGUAUUUUUGUCAUCUUUGUAUGACUUGCAGGUCGUCCUGAUUUGGUACAUGACUGGACACAGGAAUUGGACUCAUAUUUUUCAAACCAGAAUGCCAACAAUCAAGGAUUUUCUUUUGAAAGCACUGGCGUCUUCUUCAAUGCCAAAAAGGUUAGAGAUUUUCUGUAUCCUGUUUUGUAUUUGAUCAGUUUAGCAUGUGGGUGGCAAUCAAGAAAAGUUAUUAUAACAUUUUUGUGUUCCCGAAAAACUGCUGAUGAUGUGUGACUUCUUUUUAUUUGUAUUCUUUCUUUUUUCUUUUCUCCCCAACAGUAUUAUGCAUUUCGAAGAGCUUCUUGAAGUUGAUUACCAUGUAUGCCACUUUCUUUACUCUAUGCUCAGGAUGUGAUUUUGCCAAGCAUUAAAAUGGUUUAGGUCAGAACCAUCAUCUAAAGUUUACUUAAAGUUGACGGAUUAAUUCCUUUUAAUAAUGGUCGAGUUAAUUUUACUAUACUCAUAAAACUAUUCUUAUUCUGAUAAUGCCACAAAUGUUAUGAUGUUUUCUUCAGCUAAUGAUCUUCUAUCAGGACUAGUUAGAAAUCAAAUGCUUAAAACACCGAUUGAAUGAAUAAUGCAGAAGUUUAAACAGUAUCUAAUUGAAAAUUGCAUGAAACAUGAAACAUCAAUUCAAGUCCUUCCUUAAACAGAGAAUGCAUCAAACAAAUCCAAAGUGUCUUGCAUGUCUGUAGCAUGACAAAAAAGUUGCAAAUGCGUUUAGAACCAAAUUAUUCAAGUACAGGAGAACGAGCAAGUUGAAUCAUGUACACGAGAUUGGCCUGGUUUGAGAUAGCUUCUUCACUGUACCUGAAGGGUUGGCUCAAUCUUUUCUUUAGAAUUCUGCACAUUUUGUAAUUACUCGUGUAAGCAAGCAUACAUUACAACCAUAAUAAUAAUAAAGCAAGAGUAAUGAUACGACCACCACCUCUUGUACACAAACAAUAUUGUAUAAACUAAUACGACAUAAUAUGAUUGGUUGAACAAAAACAUUACAUGGCCCUCAUAAUUUAUUUAUUUAUUUAUUAUUAUAUAUUUUCAGUCAACCAAUCAUAUUAUAUCACAUUAGUUUCUAUAAAAUAAUUUUCUAAAUAGCACCAAAACUUAAUUGAUACUCACCAUUUCAUUGAACAAUUUUUUUAUGGUGUCAUUGAGGUUGCCUUCCCAACAUCCUUCAUCAUCAUCUUUUUCUUCUUCGGUGACGUUCACUUUGUUUAGCAUUGGUGUGUCUAAGACUCCUUGAGAGAAGAUCUUCAUUUUUGGACACUGUCUCACAACUACUUGUUUCAAGGACGGGAAUUCAAGAGCGUAAUUACCUAAACAAAAGCUUGUUAGGCUUGGCAAACAAUCAAGUCCCAAGUACUUUAAUUCCUUGAAAACAAUGCAAUCUUUCGCUUCUUCUGCAACCGGCGACUGUAUGAUUUCUUCUAUCCUUUUGCAAUCAGCUAUCGUCAUACUUUGAAGAAUUAUCAGACUUCUAGAUGUUGAGAGCGUCAACAAAUUUAUCAACCUGUGACACUUCGAUACUUUCAAAGCCUCAAGAUUUUCCAAAUGCCACGAAGCUGGUACUAAUUUCUGUAACUUACUACAUUCAAAUAUUUCUAGACUUUUCAAGUUUGCAAACGCUUUGUUGGAUUCGUCAUUUUCCUUCCAGAGAUGCUGCACUUUGUGUAAUCUAGAUAGCUUUAACUCCUUCAAUUGAGGGAAUGUAAGCUGAAAAUCAACAAAAUUAAGUUGUAAAUGAAAAUAUGUAUCCAAUCUCUGCAGUAUUCCCCUGCAUAUUUUAUGGACAAGAUUAAUCACGGCAUUUUAUAUUUUAUUUCCAAAUUAGUAUGCUUUGCAGUAGGAUCCCAAAUAUAAGUAUCAAAUCGAUUACCCUUUGAAACACAUAAAUGAAAUCUGAUACUAAAUCCAAUAUGAAUUAGCUAGGAAAACAGAGAUGCGACAAGCAUAAUUGAUAUAGUUCAUCACCUCAUGUUACCAGUCAUCGAAAUAAUUUAAGACAUUUUUUUAAUUCAUACUAUAAAGUUAGUUCAUAACUGUAGUUGUAUUGUUAAUUCAUAUAUGAAUCAAGAUGACAUGCAAAAAGAUGAGUCAUAAAAUUUGAUUUGAUUCUAAUGAAAUUACAUCUGUGCAAACAAAAGUGAAGGGGAAAAUAAAAAUAAUAAUAAUAAUCACCUUUUCAUCGAAGAGGGGUUGUACUUGAUGAGCCAGCAAAAAGUUCUCUUCUGAUGUUAAUUUUUGAGGUUCCUUGUUAUUUGUUGUCACAUGCACUACCGAGUUGGAUAUGAAUGUUUCCAUAUCAGGGCAAUUCUCAAUAGUUAGAUUCUCCAACUCAGACAGUUCAAUUAUAUUCCCAGUGAAGUUACAGAAUCUUUUGAGUUUUGGAAGAUCAAUAAGCCUUAGUCUGUUAAGCCUAGGAAACCGGGGGCCUAUAUGUUCUUCCUUAGCAUUUAGCUCUUCUAAAUGAAGCACCUCUUCUAUUAAAUCACAAUUCCUCACUUCCAGGCAUCUCAAAUUGUUCAAGCAACGUAGCAGAUUGGUAGGAAUAGCACUCGACAUAUUCGUGCAGUCAUCCACAGCCAGUUGUCGUAAAUUGUUGAAGAAGCUGACAGGCACUGCUUGGCCGUGCCAUAUUUCUCUCAAGCGUGGAAAAUGUGAGAGUUGCAAAUGCUCUAUGUCACGGAAUCCAAUCUGCAUAAACCAAAACAAUUGCACUGGAUAUAUAUAAAUUUCUUUUUUUGAAAGGCAUUAGAUAUAUAUAUACAUUAAACUUACAUGUUUUGUGCUAUAACUUCUAAAAAUAUAUUUACAACGCAUGUGUAUAUGUUUAAAUGUGGUAUAGUGGAAUUAAGCUUAUUGCCAUUACUUCGAAGUGGUGUUCGUAACACCAUUACUUCGCAAAGUGAAUCGAUAAACACAUACCAUUACUUGGANNNNNNNNNNNNNNNNNNNNNNNNNNNNNNNNNNNGCCUUCCCAAUGGUGUUCACCCUCUUCCCUUUCAGUCACUUGCACUACGUAUAGCUUUGGUGUGGAUGAGAUUCCCCGAGAAAAAGUCUUCAUGUUCGGACAAUGUGUCAUAGAAACUUGUUCCAAUGAUGGGAAUUCAAGAGUGUAAUUCUCCAAACAAAAGCUGGUAAGCCUUGGUAAAUCAUCAAGUUCCAAAAGUUUUAAUUCGUUGAAAGCAAUACGAUUCUCCUUCGCUUCUUCUCCAACAUGUCCUAUGAUUUCUUCUAUUUUUGCACAGUCUGAUACAUCAAGAUUCACUAGACUAUUGGGAAUUCCAACCUGAAAUAAAGAGUAGCAUUCAACUAGAUCAAAGUAUGUCAAAAUCAUACAAUUGUUUUAUGAAAAAUAACAAUUUUGAGGAAUUGAAAGAUAACUAAUUUAAUUUUUUUUUGGAAAGACUAAUAAUGAAUGAAUUAAUGAUUAAAUAAUAUUAUUAGUUAUAUCUAUUUAAUAUUAAUGUUAUCAAAUAUAGAUUUUUCAUAAAAAAUAAUUCUUAACUAUAUAAUUAAUAAUUAGAGAGAUGUUAAUAAGCUUUUUGAUUUCCUAAAAUACGUAAUUUAAAAAAAAUUAGAAUUAUUAAAAAAAUUCAAAAAAUGAGGCCUUCACAAAAUAUGGGACCUUAGGCGACCGCCUUGUUCGCCUAUACCUAAAGCCACCCCUGCAUGGGACUGUAAUAGAGUGAAUAUUUGAGGAAAUUUUUUAAUCAACGGUCGACUCAAAAUGACCAUCAUGAAUUUGUGCUUAAUCAAUGGCGUAAUCAAUUCAUAACUAAACCAGAGAUAUUAACUACAUUUGAACACUUUUCUUUAUUUUUUAUUUUUAAAUCGAAAUCUAAAGACCCAAGGAAAAGAGAAAUAUAUAUGAAUUUGUGAACUUAAAAGCUGAGUAACUAAGUAUCUUUUAAUUUCUGAAAAUCUUAUUUAUUAGGAUAUAAGAAAAAAAAACAAUUAAAUUGAAUUAUAUUAUGCUGUUAAAUCGUGUUUAAAACAAUUACUUUAAUGCAGGUGAACCUAUAAAUUAGAUUGAAAAUGCAGAGUUCAGAAUGGUGAUUUGAAGUACACUACUUUUUUGCCCUCCAGAAGUUUGAAGUAAAAUACUUGCAAUAAAUAAUUUGUGAAUGAAAAUUAUUUGUAAACACAAAAAUGAUUAAAAUAAUUGUUGAAUGUUACUUGAAAUAAAAAUUCAAAAUGAAUAUAGCAAUCUUACCAAUGGAGGAAAAAUAUUCAGUAGAUUAUUACACCCAGAUAUCUUCAAUUUUUUCAAUUUGCUAAAAGACUUCGAAGCAAGCUGGUGGUGCCAUAUUUUUCUCAACUUAUCCGCCUCACUAAUAUGUAAUACCUCCAGACUUGGGAGUCGUACCUGAAGUUAAAAAUUCAAUGCAAUUAGAGAUGUAUAUUAAUUAAAUUUGAAGACUCAACGAAAAGAGAAUUUAAAAAUUCAAUGAAAAAAAACCUUUUCAUCAAAGAGGGAUUGAGGUUGCAUUUCAGUGUGAAUGACGUCUUCUGGUGAGGCAAAGCUACUUAGUUUUGGAAGCCAAUGGAGCGACAGGUAGUGUAGUUUGGGAAAAACCUUAAAUUCAUCUCUUCCUCCUAACGUCGUGGUGUUGACUACCCCUUCAAUUGACCGGCAAUUACGAAUCUCAAGAUGUUGGAGUUGCCCAAGACUAUUAACCAUAGAAUAUGAAAACAAAUACUUCAGACGAUGACAACUCCACACGGUCACUUUUGUUAAAUUUUGACAACAAUAUAUUCCCUGAAAUUGAUCGGACCAUAAUUUUUUGAUAUUUGUUAAACUGACAAGUUCCAGUUCCUCCAAGCGUGGAAAAGUAACCUGCAAAGAAAAACCAUACAUUUUUGUUCUUUCAACUACAACUUCUAAUAUAAUAUUCUUUCGAUGAUUGAAGAUCAAUCGUGAUAAUAUAUUAAUUAAUUAAUUAUUAAACAGAAAAUUAUUACCUGGUGAACAGGAUCAUCCUCUGCAUUGAUUUCUAUGAAUCCCUGAGUUGUUGGUGGUUUCUCCAUGUCGGGCCCUAUAAAUGAACCAAAACAAUAUACAAUAAACAUCCGUUGUUUUUUUCACCAAAAAAAAAAAAAAGAAAAAAAGAAAGAGUCAAUGUCAAUAAUCCUACCAAUAAUUAAUUUCAACACUUACCAAUAAUCAUUUUCAAAUCAUCGCAGUCUUCCACUUUUACUUUUUGAAGCCGCAAUAGGUUUUUGGCCAUAGAGAAUGAGAAGAGAUACUUCAAUUUUCGACAGGAAUCUACGUUUAUAAUCCUUAAGUUGCUGAAGGAUUGAUCUUCUCUGAGUUGGCUGUAGCAUAUCGUCUCCAAAUUAGUUAAAAACAUAAGAGACAAUGCCUCCAGCAAGGGAAAGACUUCGCAACGAACCCGUCUAACUGAACCGACAAUAUGUAAAAUCUCAGAACAGUCUGUUACGAGAAGACGCUUCAAUCGUGGAAAACCUUCCCCAUCGUCUAAUUCAUGAACAACACUUUGAACACCCUCCAAUGUUUCUAGCCAGAGAUCUUCAGUUCUCUGCAGCAACAUUUUUGUCCCAUCAUUCUCCUUAAGAAUGCUAACUUUUUUUAUCCCCUUGAGCAUCAUCAAUCUUGAUGCUUCGGAUUUGACGAGCAAUGGGUCAAACUCAUCUUCGGGCCCAUCUCCUAUACGUAUCUUAUAUCUUUGCAAUUCCACAGAGACAAAAUCCGGCGGCAGAAUUUCGGCAUCCGGAACUUCUAUCUCCAAAGUAGUUAGCUCUGUCAACCUCUCCAAUUCGACAAGACUGGCAUUACUUCCUCCUUCAACCUUCUCCCACCCUGAAAAACCGUUACCCAUAUACAAUUCUUCUAAUUGAGAUAAUUUUGAUAUGACAUUCGGUGCUAUCACCUCAAGCCACCAACAAUUGCUCAAAUCUAGCAAUUGUAACCGCGUCAAUUGUCCAAUUUCAACUGGUAGCUGGUUGAUAUUGGAAUAUGCGAGGCUGAGAAUCUCUAAUUUCUUUAGUUGUCCAAUUGCCGCUAUAUCUGCUAGUUCGCACCAGUCUAAACACAAUGUUUGAAGGUUAAUGAGGCGACCAAGUGAUGAAGGUAAUGAAGAAGAGCCAAUUCCAGGAAACUGUAAAACUUUGAGUCCUUCCAUCCCUUCAAAAAAGUGGUCUGAAACUUGCAUAGGGCCAUUACCCUCCGUAUACAACAAAAAUAACUGGAGAUUGGGACAUUGCAACCUUUCAGGGAGCUCUUGAAUAUCUCUAUGAGGUAAUGAAAUAGCAAUUGGAUCUUUCUGUAUUGUCUCUUCCAUCUUUUUCUCCAAGUCAGCAACAUUUGGAACAUUAAACAUGCGCUCCUCUGUGGCAAUUGAUACGGCAACAACAUGAAUGACGUCAUGCAUUUUAACUUCAUCUUCAGCAUCACCGUCCAACAAUAAGCAUGAAGAUUUGAGGUUGUCGAUCAACCGAUGCACUCUACUCCUUGCUUCUUCCAAUGUGUAAACAUUUUCAAACAAACCCCAACCCACACCAUAUCUCAAUAAGUCAGAAACUUGUAUGACAUUACCUUCACUGUAUAGACUACAAAGACGGAACAGAGAUUUUGCCUCCUCACUUUCCAAGAAGUCAUAACUCAAUUUUAUGGAGGUGUACACAUUUGCUUGCAUGCCAUGAAUUUCUCUAGCAUCCGAUCUUCUUAGCUGAUUCAAUGCAUCUUUCCAAAAGUAACGCUCUUUAGUUUUCAGAGCAUUUGCAACUGUACUCAGUGCAACAGGCAAACCUCCGCAUCUUUCAACGAUCUCAUUUGCUAUACUUUGAAAAGCAGAUAUUUUAGUUGAAUCACCCAAUAUCUUUUCAAAAACUGCAAUGCUUCUUUUGGUGGCAAAGCAUCGAUCGGGAAAUUUUUCUGAGAAUUCAUAUCAAUGCGCAAUAAAUCUCGACUUCUAGACGUCAAUAUUAUUGUGCAUCGUCUCUGAUCAUCCUUUGUAUCUUUCUCAUCAACAUCCCCACAAGGAAUUCCAACUUUUUCGAACUCGAGUUUUUUCCAAAUAUUAUCCAAUAUAACGAGGACCUGCUUCUCGUUCUUCAAUCUUUCACGUAAUCGAUCUGCUCUUUCGAAUUUAUUCUCAUCCGAGCCAAAUUUCAUGCCUAAGUCAAAAGCAAGUUUCUUUUGAAUUUCCUGAUGAUCUGGGGUCUGUGUUACCUCAGCCAUAACGACCUUAUCGAACACCUUAUCUUCCAUAACUUGCCUUGCAACUUGCUUGACUAGCGUGGUUUUACCCACGCCGCCCAUCCCGCAGACCCCAAUUAUCUUGAGCUUAUCAUCCUUCAACGCCUCCACAACAUCUUGAAAUACUUUCAUUCUUGAAUCAAAGGCCUCGAAAUCUUUCACUUGCAUAUGUUCUGCCCGCUUUGGAGCAGGACGGUAGGAAACAUUAGAGAAGUUACCUUUUCCCAUGAGACUAGCAGCAGCUUCUGCGGCCUUUGCUGCUUGUCUACUGAGCUUGUAACGAGAAAUCAAGUUUGGGCACAAUCCUUUGAAACAGAACUUCUUAGCUCUAUCUUCAUCAUCAGUGAUGGAUUUCGCAGCUCCCUGAGUGAAUUCCUUGACGCUAUUAAGCCAGUCUGCAACAUCCUUAUAAAUCUCAUCUCCUUGUUGAGUAGCCUGAUGAACGGGUAUUUCCACCCUUUCUCUUUUAUAUCCCAACUGUUUCACUUGAUCUUUUAGGCCAUCUAUGUAGCUCUGGUACUUGAACACAUAAGAGAUCUGCCGUAUAAUCGGUUUGAACAGUGACUUUGCAUCUUCUGAUACGAUGCUGGAAAAAGCAGCCAGACCCACUUCUACAACCAUUGCCUGUUGCUUAACAAUAUAUGUAUAUAUAUGAAUAAAAUGAAUAAAAAUGUCAAAGAAAGGAAUACAAAUAAAUUAAAAUGAACUAGAGGGAAAGACAGAGAAAGAAAAGACCGCAAACAACAUCGCGAUAUUGAUUUUGAACCAACUGAUACCUAAGUAGAGAAUUUCUUUUUCUAUCUUAAGGAUCAGAGGUUUCGCUAUUAACAGAAAGGUAUCCUUUAAGGAAAGUUGAUGGAAAUUAAGAAAGAAUGGCUAUCAAGAUCAAGUAUUCUGCUACUAAAAAUAAAUGAUAUGACUUAAGAAAAGUAAAUGAUAUGAUUAAGAAAAACCAGAGAAUUUUUUCCUAGGAAAGUUGAUGGAAAUUAAGAAAGAACCGCUAUGAAGAUCAAGUAUCAGAGAUUCUGCUACUAAAAGAAUAUUACAGGUUUUAGAACAAGUGCACCUCUUUACCUGUCUGGGAUCAGAGUCGAUGAGCUGCUGUAUUCACCUUGAAUAUAGAAGAAAUAUUACAGGUUUUGACUAAAGAGGAAUGUGAGGAACGAGUUGAUGAGAGUAAUAACAAUGAAUUUCCAAAAGAAGACGACUUGAGCAUUAAGCAUGCACCCCCUUUAUCAAUCAAAUAUUGGUACGUAUGUACGUAGGGACCAUUAUGCGUAUAUGAAGUCCAUUAGUUGCAAUCAGAAACCCUGGCCCAAUUUAAUUGGCACUCGAUUUUUGAUAAGAAGAAGGCAAGGAUAAGGACAAAGUCAAUCAAUCACCAACAGUAAUUACUUCAAUCUUUGUCAAUCUACUUAAAUUGUCGAUCAACAUGAAAAUUGUUUAAAUUGAUAUUUGUAAAUCAAUCAAUUUUCUAGUUACUAUGAUUAUAACGUUUCACCUUUCAUAUUGGAUUUUAUCUUUUCGAAAGUUUUCAAAUAUGAGUGUCAAUAAUUAUUGAGACUCCAAGCCGUGCUCUCAAGAUCGUGCUGACAAAUCACUAUUGACUUUGUUUAUGCAAAAUUCAAAGAAAAAAAGUUAUGGUUUUGUAUUGCCAGCCCUGCUACUUUUUGUUUUUUUCAUUUGUAUUAUUUACGAAUUAUUUUUUAACAGAAACAUGAGAACUCAUCAUCGUACAAAAUUGCAUGAAAAAAUCUUCAAAUUUAUAAAAGUAAAUUUCGUUGACAGAUUGUGGAUAUGUUAGAAAGAAUAAGGAUAAGAAUGAGUUAAGAAAUAAUAUAUAUAUAUAUAUAGAUAGAGAGAGAGAGAGAGAGUGAAAGUAAACAAUGUUUUGGUACAUUUGGUAUUGUUUUCAAAAUAUUUUGAAAAGAAAAAUUUUCAAUUAUCCACCUAGGAAUUAUCUUAUUAUCCAAAAAGUUAUAAAAAUUUAAAAAUAUUUAAUUUUAUACCCAUUAUUACAAUGUGUAUCAACUGUUUACUAAAAAAAUAAAGUUACUCCUAAAACAUAAUCACCACUACAAUUUUGUGUUCGCUUCUAUUUUGUCACUUUGAACGAAUAACUUUAUAUUUUUAACAGAUGUUUCAUACAAAUUGCAUACAUUGGAUGUAAAAUUAAAUAAAUUUAAAUUUUUAUAAUAAUUUUAAUAAUUGAAUAAACUUUGAGUAAAUGACUGAUAAUUUCUCUUUUAUAAGCUACAAGAAGUUAAAAAGAAAAAAGAAAAAAUAGGAUGAUAAUUUCUCUUUAAUAUGCCUCAGAUGAUUUAUUGUUUCGGGUCUAAGAUUUUAAAUAUUCAACUUAAAAGAUUAAUAUAUUAUAAAUUAAUUAAUUAAAUAAUCAUUAAGCAACUAAAUUGGGUCCCCUGGAUGUCAAUUCCUUUAUUAUUGACGCAACUAUUUUUUUAUGGCAAAUAAUUAUUAAUGCACUUACGGAACUUUUGCAUAUCUACACAGCGAUUUUAAAUAUUACUGGUAACUGCUGAGAAAUGUGCGAGAAAGAAGUUGAUGAGAGUAAUAACAGCGACUUGCAAAAGGAAAAGACAGAAUCAUUCAGACAUUCACCCCUUUUUGUAUCACGUACUUGGUUACUGUUUCCCUGUUGACGCAUGUAUAAAUUUGAGUGAUUUUUCUGCACUUUUUUGGCUGUUGCUUAACAAUGUGUGUGUGUGUGUGUGUGUGUGUAUUUGCUGUUGAAAAAUUUGGAUUCAAAUAAAUUAACUGAAAGAUUAGAGUUUUGACUAUUAACUGAAAGGUUUCAAGGGUAUGAAUGAAAAGCAACAUUCUUUUUUAGAAACUAUUUUAGAGGAGAGAUGCAAAUUAACAAAUGCUAAUAACAAGAACACAGAAGUUAACAAUGAACAGUAACUUAAAUCAAGAAAAUUAAAUGACAAAAUUAAGACAAAUAGGAGAUAUUUUUUCGUGGACGUUAAGAAAUAACUGCUGUCAAGAAUAAGGAGAUUAUGCUAUUAAUAGAAAUUAUCAAAGGAUUUAGGACAAGUUCACCUCUUUAAUUAUCCGGGAUCAGAUAGUUGAUGAGCUUCUCUAUUUGAUCUUGAAUAUUUAAGAAUAAUUUUAAUGAGCAAAAAGAUCACUGGUAACUGCUGAAAAAUAAGUGAGAAAAGAGUUGAUGAGAAUAAUAACAAUGAAUUGAAUAAAAAAAGGACUUAAUCAUGCACCCCCUUUGCAUAUCAUGUAUAGAAUAAUUACAUGUAUUAUUAUAAUUUUGGGUUCGAUAUCCUUGUAUUAGUGUCUAAGAUUUUCAUGAAGAAUUAAACUUGAAAUGACCAAAAGAGGAAGCUGCGGUGUAUUGUUGGACCCAAUUAAGUUGAAGAAAGCACUAGUUCACAACCUUACGUUUGGAUAUAUUCUAAAGAAAUAAUUAAACAGCAAAUGAUCAUCACAUGCACUUUAAUGAUUUGAUCUAUUGUUUUCAAAAGAAAUUGCAAUUAACAGUUUUUGUCAAAAGUUCGCACUGUGUGAAACUAGUGUUAAUAUAAUUUAAAAAAUUACUUUCAAUAGCAUAUGGAAUAAUUAUAAUAUUAUUAAUACCUAAGAUAUAUUUAUAUUUAUUAUAAAAAAUUCAGUUAAAUAUUUGUGUUAACUAGAAUUUAUAAUUAAUAUAAUAUAUCUUAGGUAUUAAUAAUAUUAUAAUUAUUCCAUAUGCUAUUGAAAAUAAUUUAAAUUUUUAGACGUUUAUUUUCAUAUUAAGUUUUUAUUUAUUAUAAAAUUUAGUUUAAUAUAGUAUAAGCUUGUAAAGUAUUAAAAUAUUUUUUUUCAUAUUUUUUAAAAAUAUUAAAAUUAUUUUAAUAUAUAUAUAUUAACAUUGAAGCCAAUUUUUUGAGUUAAUAGAGCUAGUAGGUGUUACACUAAAAAAGAGUAUCUUAGUAUCUCUUAUUGAGUGGGAGAGCCAAAUGAAUCGAAAAAUUCAUGUUUGGUUCGGGAAGGGAUCAUCGAAGUUUUGAGAUGAAUGGAAAGAUAAUCUACUUUCAUUAAGUGAUUUAUUAGAUAAUCGCAAACUGAGGAUUUUGAAUAGUAUUCAAAAUUCAGAAGAAAUGCAGAGAGGGGCCAUUGAACGGCCGGAAAAAGCCCGGCCCGGUUACAAAAAAUCAAAAUAGAAGCAGAUCAAUAUUGAAAAUAUAUAGAUCUAUAUAAUCAUUUUUUCAAAUAUCGAGAUGUAGCUAUAAAAGAAAAAAUAAAUUAAAAAAUUUUAAAUUUUAAAUUUUAAUAUGGCCAUCGUAGGGUUAGAAUCCCCGCUCCAACCCGAUUUGGAGAUGUGCUUGGUCUAUUUAUGUUUUGGAAAAAGAAAAACCAAAGAAAAAAAAUACGCACCCGACCAAAUCAAGUAACUCAUCAAAUAAAAAAUAAAAAAGGAAAGAAAUUUAAUGACUUGCGUGCAAUUUUGGAUCUGAAAUUAAAAUUACAUAAAAAUUCAGGCUUACGUACCUUGAUAUUUACAGCUUAUUUGAUGGCCUCAACAAGUUUAAGCAGCAUCAAAAUGUUGUGGCUCCUUCAAUGACAACAUCGACUUGUUUGACAGCUCCAACAAGGCUACGAUGAUCAGAAAAUGAGCCCUCAAUCAACCAGCGCCUUGCUCUUUGUCAUUUUUCCUCUUGUUAGUUUUCUUCUACAUAUAAUUAUUACACUGGGAAGUAUACACACACCUCUUUUCUUUUUAUAGUACCUUACUAUUAUAUCUUUACAAAACAAUAUCACCCUAAGACAUAUAUGUAUGAAAUAAAUAUAUAAGGAACUGACGAAAUAAAAUUAGAUCUAACACUAGUUUCAUGUGGUGUGUGAACUUUUGACAAUCCUCUCAUACCCCAACAAAAACUUUGUCAUAUUACGAAAGUUAUCACGACCAUAGACUUUUCAAUUGCAUAUUGGAAUUGCAAUGUCAUUUUAUUAUAGUAAUGUCAUUUCCAUUAUUCAUAGUGGCAGACAAUGGACAUCACGGGACACGGCGAGAAGUUAUCACGACCAUAGACUUUUCUAAUUUAUGAAAUAAAUGAAAUUAGAUCUAAUUCUAGUUUUAAGUGGUGUGAACUUUUGACAAUCCUCCCAUAUCCUAACAAAAGCUUUGUCAUAUUGCGAAAAUACCUUUCCAAUGUUUCAAUUGCAAUGUCAUUGCCAUUAUUCAUAGUGGCAGACAAUGGACAUCACGGGACAUGGCUAGAAGUCUAUGUUACGGCUUAUGUAAGUAACAGUAGCCAAUGGGGAACUUCCACAGGGGCUAUAGGAGAGAGAAAGAGGUCCCAAUACAAGUGUUAGAGUGCAAUUUAUACACUAGUUUUGCAUUGUUUACUUCCCUUAAUAUCAAUGUUUUGCAUUUAAUAAUAAUGAUUUACUUGUGUUUUACUUUUGUAGGUGCAAUUCUAUUGAUUUGUUAUAAAAUUGAGGUAUAAGAUGAUGUUUAAAGAUGAUUGUUCUCUUAGAGAAAUUUAGAGCGUCAGAAGAACUUUAUUGAUAAAGCGUGGGCGCGUGCUGUCAACUGCGGACCUGCAGUUUUUAGUUUAAUGUGUUUUGUAUUUUUGGCUAUUUUUGUAAUUACGAAUUUAAUAUUUCAAAUAUUAGUAUUUUAUUUUAAAUAGAACUCUAAAAGAGAAGAGAGAGAGAGUAUUUAAGGGAGGAAUCUAUUGUGAAAAAGGGGGGAUUUUAAUUGGAGAAAAAGAAAGAAACCCUAGAUCUAAUUUUUCUCUUCUCUCUAUGAAGAACUAAACUUAUUUUUUCUGGUGGAAGGUUAAUGAAGCUUUGAUUCAUCAAUACUGUGAGAUCUUUCUUAUGCUUUAAUUGUUUUAUUACUUUUUGGGUAUUUGUUUAUUCUCUGAAUUUGUUUCAUGAUUAUGUUUGUUAAUUAGGUAAUUGGCCACUAUUUAAUUAUCAACUUAAUCUAUUGUCAAUUAAAGAAUUCAUCGUAUGAAGAGUUUAAUGUUUGUGACAAAUAACAUAGCAGUGAGUUGUGUUAUGGGAAUAAACAAUCUAAUUUAAAUGAAUCAUUAUAUGUGUUGAUUAGGAUUUGGGUCUCUAUGGUUUUUCAGGCUGUCAAUUGAUUAAAUCCUAUGAUCGUAUCUAGGGUUGUCUAUUGAUUAGGGAAAUAUCCAACGGUCGUACCUUGGUUAUCGACUAGUUAAGGAGAGAUUGGCUAUUAGAGGGUCUCAAUAGCUAUAACCGGUCUAUUCAUAAGUAAUAAUAAUCUAUUUUUGAAUCAAUGAUUAGUAGUCGAAUCAAGCUGAGUUAAUUCCUUCAACCAGAGCUUUCUCCAAUUUGAAUUACAACUUUAAUUUGCAUUUUUGUUAUUUUAAUUUGAUUUUUUAUUAUUGUCAACAAUUCCCCCAUUUUACGUUUUACGUUUCAAAAGGAUUUAAAUAAUUACCGAUCUCUGUGGACACGACCCUGCUCAAUCACUAUACACAAUUUAUUUAGAGUAGGAAUUUAUUUUUGUUGGCUUCGACAACCAUCAACAAGGUGAUGGAAAUGGGAAAGUUCGAAGCUGUUACUUUCAGCUUCUGCACCGUAGCCAUGUCCCACGGGACAAGGCUAGAAGUUAUCAUGACCAUAGACUUUUCUAAUUUAUUUUUUCCUUUCAAAAAGGGACAAGGAUAAGUUUGGGAGAAUGAUUAUAUUUUUAAUAAAAGAAUUCUUUUUUAUUAUAAUACUUUUUGUCUUUAUUAAUUUAAAAAUAUUAACUCUUAUAUUUUAAUAAAUAUAAAUAUAAUAUUAUAAUAACAUAUAACAAUAUAUACAAAAAUUUAAAAAAAAUUAAGAUUUUAUUAAAAUAAAUUUUAUAAUAAAUACAAAUACAUUAUUAAUAUAAUUUUAAUAAUUUGCAUUUUAAAAAGUAAUACUGAUAUUAAUUUUUUAAAUAUUAAUUUUUUAAAUUAUAUUACUCUACCAAAAAAAAUUAAACUAUUAAAUUAUAUUGAUAUUUAUUACAAAAUUUGCAAUUAAUUCUUAUUAUAUUUUUAAUUGGAAUUUGUUCCUGUGAUAUAACAACAAUUGCUACAGUUUUUUUCCCUAAAUAAAGAUGGAGUUAUAAAUUAUUUGUGUAAGUGUCAUGAAAGUAAUAGUUGAAUAACAAUAAUGGGGCUUUAGGCAAUUUUUUCAUGAGGUCUUCUUGCAAUUUCAACACUUAAACAUACUUGUCCUUGAUCCCAAUUUAUUUACCCCAUUUGGGCCCACGAUGAGAUAAAUAUAUUCCUGUGAGAUGAAAAACAUCAGGAGAAGAAAAUGUUUUAUUAUAAUAAAAAAACAAGUGGUCCAUAAGUCUAUUUAUUACUUUUUUUAUUCAAUACAAAUGGCCAACUUAAAAAAUGAUAAAAAUCACAUAACGCACAAGCAAAAAUUUAGAUUUACAUUUUUUUAGUUCUCUCCGUGUCUCUCUUUCUCUUUUUUUUUUUUAAAAAAAAUAAAUGUCAGUGUAAAAUUAGAAAAAUUUUAGAUAUAAACUUUGGCGAUGACCAAACAAAAAUUGCAAGGGAAAGAAAAUAGAGGACCCUUGAUAUCAUUGAAAUACUGAUCAUAGACACUACAAUAUAAAUAACUUGUUGUGAUCCACUCAACUUGUAACACUUUAAUCCAUAUUCUAAAAUUUGUAUGCUUGUUAGGAAUUUUAUUAUUGACAUUACUGUACCAAUAAAAGUCUAAUUUAUUCAUAUGGAAAGAAAACAUCAAGAAAGGACCUCUGAUUUUUAUUAUAACAGAAAAAAGUGGUCCAUAAGUUUAUUUAUUAUUUUAUUUAUUCAAUACAAAUUGCCAACUUAAAAAAUGGUAAAAAUCACAAAAUGCACAAGUAAAAUUUUAGAAUUACAUUUUUUUAAUUCUCUUUGAGUCUCUCUCUCUCUCUUUAAAAAAUAAACCUCACUGUAAAAUUAGAAAAAUUUUAGACAUAAAAUUUGACAAUCACCAAACAGAAAAUGUAGGGAAAUGAAAAUGGAGGAGCCCUAUUAUCAUUAGAAUAUUGAUCAUAGAUACUAUAAUGUAAAUGAUUUGUUGUGGUUCAUUCAACCUGUCACACUCUAAGCCAUUUUCUAAAAUUUGUAAGGUUUAUAGGAUUUUUAUUAUUGGCAUCAUUGUAUCAAUAAUAUUAUAAAUUAUAUAUUCUAUUGUAAUGAAAAUUUAUGUAAUCUUAGGUAUUUAUUUAUUGUAAUAAUAAAAAAUUUCUAAAUAAAGGUGAUUGCUUCAUUGACAAGUACAUAUUUAUAUUCUCUAUUAGUAUUUGGGUUGUAAACUUUGUUUAUAAAGUGAAUAUAUUGUGGUAAGCGAUGUGGGCAAUAUCGGAUGCAAAAUAUUGAGAGAUCAUUAACGCAUAUAUUUAUUGAAGACGCAUAUAGAGGAAAGAGUGUAGAUCCGGCCGUAACAAUUAUGAAGCUUUCCCCAAGUAUUCUCACGCUUCCUUAACUGUUGCAAAGUAUUUUUCAUAGUGUGCAGAUUUACUUUAUGGUGUCUUAAUUCGUCUAAAAUGAUUACUUUAGUUCUUUUGGGAUGAAAGGUCAUUUAUUGUGUUAGUAUUAAACAAUAGAAAAAAUAAGUAAUGGUAACGAAAGACUAAUUUGUGAUAUUGAAGCAUACAUGCUUAACUCAAUCCAAAACUUAGUAAGUUAGCUCAAGAGUUAAGAGUUGUCCAAAUCUUAUAUGCUGAACCCAAGUUCAAUACUCAAUUGAUGCAGGAUGUUAUUCCUAACACCGCCCCUCAUGCGUAGGAUUGGCAAAAAAACUCGAGUCAGUCCCGCCUAGACCUGCAAGCUUUAUUUAUGGCCAGCAUGAUGAAGUUACAGAUAUUAACCUAAAAAUUUGAAACUUACUAUGAAUGGCCUUGGUUAAAGACUUUUGUAACUUUAAUUUAUAACAAGUAUGUAUACACACACACACACAUGUUUAGAUUGCAUUUGGAUGACUUUUUUAUCAAUGCAAACAAUAUCAAAUUUAUCGGAUUAAUUUGAAUCUGAUCUAUAUCCGAUUUUGCCCGCCAUANNNNNNNNNNNNNNNNNNNNNNNNNNNNNNNNNNNNNNNNNNNNNNNNNNNNNNNNNNNNNNNNNNNNNNNNNNNNNNNNNNNNNNNNNNNNNNNNNNNNNNNNNNNNNNNNNNNNNNNNNNNNNNNNNNNNNNNNNNNNNNNNNNNNNNNNNNNNNNNNNNNNNNNNNNNNNNNNNNNNNNNNNNNNNNNNNNNNNNNNNNNNNNNNNNNNNNNNNNNNNNNNNNNNNNNNNNNNNNNNNNNNNNNNNNNNNNNNNNNNNNNNNNNNNNNNNNNNNNNNNNNNNNNNNNNNNNNNNNNNNNNNNNNNNNNNNNNNNNNNNNNNNNNNNNNNNNNNNNNNNNNNNNNNNNNNNNNNNNNNNNNNNNNNNNNNNNNNNNNNNNNNNNNNNNNNNNNNNNNNNNNNNNNNNNNNNNNNNNNNNNNNNNNNNNNNNNNNNNNNNNNNNNNNNNNNNNNNNNNNNNNNNNNNNNNNNNNNNNNNNNNNNNNNNNNNNNNNNNNNNNNNNNNNNNNNNNNNNNNNNNNNNNNNNNNNNNNNNNNNNNNNNNNNNNNNNNNNNNNNNNNNNNNNNNNNNNNNNNNNNNNNNNNNNNNNNNNNNNNNNNNNNNNNNNNNNNNNNNNNNNNNNNNNNNNNNNNNNNNNNNNNNNNNNNNNNNNNNNNNNNNNNNNNNNNNNNNNNNNNNNNNNNNNNNNNNNNNNNNNNNNNNNNNNNNNNNNNNNNNNNNNNNNNNNNNNNNNNNNNNNNNNNNNNNNNNNNNNNNNNNNNNNNNNNNNNNNNNNNNNNNNNNNNNNNNNNNNNNNNNNNNNNNNNNNNNNNNNNNNNNNNNNNNNNNNNNNNNNNNNNNNNNNNNNNNNNNNNNNNNNNNNNNNNNNNNNNNNNNNNNNNNNNNNNNNNNNNNNNNNNNNNNNNNNNNNNNNNNNNNNNNNNNNNNNNNNNNNNNNNNNNNNNNNNNNNNNNNNNNNNNNNNNNNNNNNNNNNNNNNNNNNNNNNNNNNNNNNNNNNNNNNNNNNNNNNNNNNNNNNNNNNNNNNNNNNNNNNNNNNNNNNNNNNNNNNNNNNNNNNNNNNNNNNNNNNNNNNNNNNNNNNNNNNNNNNNNNNNNNNNNNNNNNNNNNNNNNNNNNNNNNNNNNNNNNNNNNNNNNNNNNNNNNNNNNNNNNNNNNNNNNNNNNNNNNNNNNNNNNNNNNNNNNNNNNNNNNNNNNNNNNNNNNNNNNUACCUCUUUUAACGACAAGAUUCGUAGUAGAUGAUAAAAAGAAAAUUAACUUCAAAUUUUUUCAUUAAAUGUAAAUCUGAUUGAAGUAGUUUAAAUUUUUCUAGUAGACUAAUAUAUAUAACUUAAAUAAUUAAUUUCAUUAUUAAUUUUUAAAAUGUUAACUAAUAUAUUUUUAAUUUAUUAUAAAAAUUUUAAAUAAAUCCUUGGAUUAAAUAGAUUUUACAAUUAAUGUAAUACUUCUGAUUUAUUAAUAAUAUUAAAAUUAUUUUAUAUGAUAUUCAAAAUAAUUUAAACUUAUAUAUAUAUUAAUAUUAUGUCUAUUUAUUAUAAUAUGGUUUAAUAUUAUACGGGAUUGUAAAAUAUUAAAAUAUUUUUCAAUAUCCAAUUAUUUUAAUAUGUAUAUAUCAUUACAUUUAUUUUAGUAUCGUAUUUAUAUUUAUUAUAAAAUAUAAAAUUAAUAAAAUUAAAGAGUAUUGCAGUAAAGUAAAAAAAAAAAGUCUUAUUAUCUCUUAUUCACAAUAUGAGAUUCUACAAAAUUAUUUCCCGAAACGGGUGUCCUUUUCUUAUUUUCAAAAGAAAAAAUAAAGUAAGAAUAAGUCCAUGGGUUUCAAAAACUUCUAGUCUUAUCCCGGGACUACAUUGUCUGCCACUAUAACUAAUGGAAAUGACAAUACAAUUGACAUUGCCUUUCGCAACAUGACAAAUUUUUGGUGGGAUAUGGAAGAAUUGUCAAAAGUUCACGCCAUGUAAGAGUUUUUGGUGGGAUGUGGGAGGAUUGUCAAAAUAUCACACCACGUGAUAUAACCACAAUUGCUAUGGUUUUUAUUUUUUAAAUAAUGAUGGGAGUUAUAAAUUAUUUAUAUAAAUUUGCGUAGAAACUAAUGUAACAUAAAAGAAGUAGCUGAAUAAUAAUAUUUGGUGCUUUAGGUAAUUUUUAUAUGAGCCUUUCUUUUAUUUAGCGGCUCUAGUGCUUAAACAAACUUGUUCUCGAUCUUAAUUUACUGACCCCAUUUAAGCCUAUGAUGACAUAAUUAAACAUAUUCUUUUGUGACGAAAACAUCAAGAGAAGACAUCUCAUGUUUUAUUAUAACAGAAAAGAAGUGAUCCAAACGUCUAUUCGUUAUUUUAUUUAUUCAAUAUAAAUGGUCAACUUUAAAAAAAUGAUAAAAAUCACACAACGCUCAAGUAAAAAUUUAGAAUUACAUUUUUUAAAACUCUCUGAGUCUCUCUCUCCUGCCCCCCCCCCCCCCUCUUUUUUUUAAAAUAAACCUUAGUGUAAAAUUAGAAGAAUUUUAGAUAUAAAAUUUGGCAAUCGCUAAACAGAAAAGUAGCGGAUUGAAAAUAAAAAAGCUCUAUUAUCAUAGGAAUAUUGAUUAUACAUAAUAUAAUAACUUGUUGUGGUUCAUUGUAGCACUCUGAGCCAUACUUUAAAAUUUACUGGUUUGUUAAUGCUUUUAUUAUUGACAUUAUUGUGUCAAUAUUACUAUAAUUUAUUCAUUUUAUUGUAAUGAUAAUUUGUGUAGUCUUAGGUACUUAUUAUAUUAAAUUAUGUAAAUUAAUUGAGAAUACUUUUAGAGACAAAAGAAACACGUGUAUGUAGGAUUAAUAAUCGAAGAAUUGUAAAUGAAGGUGAUUGCUUCAUUGAGAGGCAUAUUGAAUAAUUAUGGAGGUUGCACUAUUUCGGAAGCACAUAUUUAUACUUCCCUAUCAGGAUUUGGGGUAAACGAAGUGCUUUAUCUAUUGCAGUAAGCAAUGUGGGCAAUAUCAGAGGCGAAAUAUUAAAAGAUUAUAACGCAUAUAUUUGAGCCAUUUAUAUUGAAGACACAUAUAGAGGAAAGAGUGCAGAUCAGGCUUUCCUCAAGUAUUCUCAUGCUUCCGCAACUGUUCUGAACUAUUCUUCAUUGUGGGCAGAUUUACUUAAUUACCAACACUAUGAUUCAAUACUUCAAAGGUUGAGGAAAUGUCAAAAUAUGAAAUGAAAAUACUUAAAUACCCUUCUACCUAACAAAACUUGGUACUUCUAACUGCACUCGCAGAGAAUAUAUAAAAUUAAAAAAAUAUAUAUUCAUCCAUGAAAAGCUUCGUAACAGAAAAACCAUCUUUAAAAAAAAUAAAAAUAAAAUUAAAAAAAAAAAACAGAAAAACCGACUCAUUUAUCUGCCAAUGAACCAAUUGGGACUCAUUUAAAAAAGAAUACAAAGCAAAAGUGAAUGACACAAAUUGCAUAGAUAUCUAGGUAUAAUUUGUCCAAGUAAUAAAUUCUCCUAGGUCAAAAGCAAUUAACGAUGAAAACUUUCUUCAUUAAGGUUCUGGCCUACGUAAAAAAACAGAAAAAACCACCCCAAGGUCAAAGCACAACGAUAAGUUUAGAACUGCAGUUUUUAAUUUUUUUUAAUAAAUCAAUGUGUAUCAAAAAUAGAUAAUAAUUUUGGAUAACUUUUUUUGAUAAAUAUAGACAUAAAAUUUUAAAAUCACCAAACAGAAAAACAGGGGAAUUAAAAGAGAGCCCUUGUUUCUCCUCUGUUUUGUUUGUUAUCAAACAGUGAAAUGAAAAGAUCGCAAGCGGAAAUUUUGUUUCUGCGUUGUAUCUUCUCAAUGCUGCAUGCAUUCAAAUUAAACCUUAUAUAUGCUAGCAAACUAGCUACUCUGCAUGUAAGUUCUCGAUAAGUCCAAAUAAUAGAAUAAUUGUAAAAUGUUAAAAUUCAGUAAUUAAUUAUACAUAUUUAUUUAUUCAAAAAUUAUUAUUAUUAAUUAUUGUCAAUAUAUAUUAAUAUUCUGAUUAAUUGUAAAAAAUUUAUCAUUCAUAACAAUAAUAAUGAUGAUGAUGAUAAUAAUAAUAAUAAUUCAAAAUAUAUUAAUUAAUUAUAAUAAUAUAUUAAUUAUUUAAUAAUAGUAAUAAAUGUAAAAUGUAUAAAUUGAUUAGAAUAGUUAUAUUAAUAAAUUAUAAACAUAUAUUAAUUAAUCAUAAUAAUUUUUUAAUUGAGGACAAAAUAGACAUUUUAUAGUUUGUGAGAGGGGGUAAAAUGGUCAAUCUUGGGAACGGGGGAUUGAUUCCCACCACCUUCCUUGGGAAUCAAUCUUCCAUUCCUCAUUCCUAAAUUUGGGUGGCCCCAUAAUUCUGAUUUGGAUCCCUGCCUCCAUCAUUAAUGAUUUCGAUUUCGGAUUCCGAUUCCCCAAUCCAAGAAGUAAAGGCACCAUUAUUGUUAAUUGGUUCAAACACACAAAGAGAAUGUACCAUGUAGCUAGGCGUCAAGGUUGUGUUGCACAAGUAACCUUUUUCUUUUCUUUUUAUUUUUCUUGUUUUCCUUAACGGAUCAGAAGAAAUUGGUGCCUUUGAGAUACCACAAUGUAAAUAAGUACUUGUGGUUCAUUGAAUCGGUAACACUCGGUACCCUAAGGUUGCUUUGGAAAAAAGGCUUUUCUCACUGAUCGCCAAUAUCCAAGUAAGUUUGUUUCAUUUCAGAAGGUGCAAAGUUUCAAACUUGUUGUAUUGGGAUGUAACAAACUUUGGCCUCAUAUGCCUGCUGUGACGUUAGACUGUUCAUUUUGAUUGUUUCCUACCUUCCACUUACGCCAUUGUAGCACUGUAUUAUUCACCAUUUUAACUGUUUAAAUGAAAUUUUAUUUUUGUCAAAAAUAAAAUGACACCAUUAAAAUUUAGAAAAAUAAUAAUGUAGAUCCCAAAUUUUUAAAAAAGAAUACCAAUAUUCCCCUUGACUACAAUACCCUUAGUAGGUGGUAAUAAAAAAAAAUUGGCUUAAAAUUUUUACGAAAUGUAAAUAUGAUUUAAAUAAUUUAAAUUUUCCAGUAGACUAAUAUAUAUAAUUUAAAUAUUAAUUUUUAAAAUUUAAAUUAAUUUAUUUGUAUUUAUAAAAUAGUUGUAAUUAUUUUAAAAUUUAACUAAAUCCUUAGGUUAAAUAGAUUUUACAAUUAAUAUAAUAUUUCUCAUGUAUUAAUAAUAUUAAAAUUAUUUUAUAUGAUAUUGAAAAUAACCUAAAUUUUUAUAUAUUUAUUUGAAUAUUAUGCUCUAUUUAUUAUAAUUUGGUUUAAUAGAAUACGAGAUUGUAAAAUAUUAAAAUUUUAAAUAUUGAAAUUAUUUUAAUAUGUAUAUAUUAUUAUAUUUAUUUUAAUAUCCUAUUUAUAUUUAUCAUAAAUUAUUAGAGUUAAUUUUUUUAGUUAAUAAAUUUAAAAAAUAUUAUAAUUUUAAAAAAAAAGUCUUGUUGUCCGUUAUUCACGAUAUGAGGUUCUACAAAAUUAUUUCUCCAGGCGGGUGUCCUUUUUUUAUUUUCAAAAGGAAAAACAAGUUCAGGGCCUCAGGGGUUUCAAAAAAUUCUGGUCCUAUCUACCACUAUGACUAAUGGGAAAUGACAUUGCAAUUGACAUUGCUUUCCGCAAUAUGACAAAUUAUUGGAGGGAUAUGGGAGAAUUGUCAAACGUUCACACACGCGAGAGCUUUAGGUGGGAUAGGGGAGGAUUGUCAAGAGUUCACACCACGAGAAACUAAUGAUAGGCCUAAUUUCGUUGUCAGUUCUUUAUUUAUUUAUUUUAUUUAUUUCAUACAUUAUUGUUUUUAUAAAGGUAUAAAAGUAAAGUAAAAUACCAGGGGUGCUGUUAAGUUACAACUUAUGUAACUUGCAAUUUUUUCAAAAAUAAUGUAAAAAAUUUAAUAGGUGGUGGGACCCACAUAUUUUUUAAGAGACUUAAGUUACAACAGUUGUAACUUAACAAAAUCUAAAUAUUAGACAAUAAUGCAUAUAAUUUGGGUUUGAUUUUUAAAAGAUUAUUUGAGUACCACCUAUCCUUAUGAUAUUAAUCUGAUUAUAUCUUAAUAUUAAAUAAUCAAAAUUUGUUUAAUUAUUAUUUGUAUUUCAUACAUUACAUAUUAGAUUUGUUUGAAUUUUAAGUUGUUGCUAAUAAAUAUUUAUGUUGUCAAAGUCAAAGUCAAUAGCUACAAAAGCAGAGAUAAUGGUAUUGUAUAUAGUUUUUAAGAAUGCAAGGAUAAGCUGGAUAAUUGACUUAAAUUCUAAUGAUUAAAAGAGCAACUAUCCCUUAAGUUAUAAUGUCAAUUUCUUUAAUUAGAAAUUUUUUUUUUCAUGUGAUAUAACCUCAAUUGCUACAAUUUUUUUUAUAAUAAUAAUGGGAGUUAUAAAUUAUUUAUAUAAAAUUUGGGUUGAAACUAAUGUAACCUAAAAGUGGUUGCUAAAUAACAAUAUUUGAAACUUUAAGUAAUUUUCAUGAGUCCUUUUUAUAUUCAGCAACUUGAAUUGGGGGAAAUCCGACUUGAAUUGGCGGUUGAUUUUGGUGAUGUGGCUUUUGGUUUACGCCGGCUUUACAGUGGCGGAAGACUGGAUUUACGGUUGCCGAAUGCUAGGGAUUAUGGUGGUGGUGUAAAUUGACGGAAAAAGAAGGUGUUUUGGUGGCGGCGCAUCUAGGAAGCACUCGUGGGUUGUCGUUUCGUGUGCUGACAACGGGCGGCGAUCAAGGGCUGAAGUUGGUUGGUUUUUGGUCAACGGAGGCCGGCGAGUUUGUUGGUGGAGGUGGUUGGUGGAGAAAGUGGCUGAAUGGUGGUGGGUUGCUUGGUGGAGCCGUGGGUUUGGGUUGGUGAUUUGCGGCUGUUGAGGCAGCGAUGACUGAGGCUUGGUCAACUGUGGCUAGUGAGGUUUGUGGUGGUGUUGGCUGGCUGAUCGGCGGUGGUGGGCGGCGGUGGAGGUUGAUGUGACGGGUUGGGUUUUCAAAUUUGUAAAUUUUGUUUUUUGAUGGAUUUGGUUUGGAUAGGUAUGGUGUAUCUAGGAAAGAUGUGCGAUUCGCACAUAAUCAUCUUGAUACCAAUUGAUGGAGCGAGGCGUAGCGGAAGCAGAAUUGAUAGGGUAAGAAACAUUAGAUAUUGUUCUAGUACUAGACCAAGCCAACGCGAUUAGUUCACGCUCUAAUCGAAGCAUGAUUAGAUAUCGUUAUAAUCCAAAUGACUCAAUGAGAUUUUUAAUAAUGCGUAAUACGAGAUUAGAUGACACUCUAAUCCAAACGACUCUACAAGAGAGAUUUUGAUAAAUAAUCCUAGAGAAAAUUAUAAAAGAGGGGUUUUAUUUAAUAAUUGAACUUGAAGUUAUGAAAAUAAUGACAAGACAUCUUUAUUUUUUUUAUUACAAAUAUCUUUAUUUAUAAUAGAAGAAACCCGCUUUCCUAAGUUAACCUAAAAAGAAAAUUUAAAUCAUAAUUAUAAUGGAAAUAAAAGAUUAAAAUACAUACCAUAAUUAACUCAAACUAAAAUAGAAAAUCAUAAAAUAAUAAAUAUUCUAGAAUUAUAAAUUAUCUAAAAUAACGUUAAUUAACUUCUUAAAUCACUUCUUUGGUGUUAACCAUUUUGCAUCCAACCUCGCUUUAAAGGUUUGAACCAACGUUACCAACAAUAAUGUAUCAAAUUCCAAUCUAACUUAAGAUCCUGAUACAUCUACCGAUGUCCUUGUUUGAUUAGACAAUAAUGAGUCUAUCUCAUCACUUGUUACCUCUUUCUUGAAGGCUGCAUCUGUUGAAGUGAUAGUCUCGUUUAGAGUUUAAAGAUCUUCUUCCAUGUUAAAUAAAAUGGGCAUUUGAUUAAAAAACUUUAUCUCUAUCUCCUUCUAUCAAAUAACGACAACUAUCCGAAGGGAAAAAAAAUUAGAAAAGUCCAUGGGUCACAAUAAUUUAUGGUCUGUUCCCGGACCCCAUUAUCUGCCACUAUCAAUGAUGAAAAUGAAAAUAAAUGGCAUCUUCCCAAAAUGGCAAAAGAUUUUUGGGGGAUAUGGGGGAAUUGUCAAAAGUUCACACAACGCGAAACAAGUGUUACAUCCAAUUUUAUUUCGUCAUAUAAUGAUAAUAUCAAAUAAUGACAACCAUCCAAAAGUAUGAUGGGUCUUCCACAAUUUUGAAAAUGUCGUCAACAUUUAAUCUUCAAUGCUAAAGAAGAUGAAAUGACCAAAAAUGACACGCAGGACCAACUUACAGACUAAAUGGCUCUGACCACAUGUAACAAACUUUGGCUUUAUGUCCUUGCUGAGGCGUUAGACUGUUGGUCAUUUUGAUUGCUUUUUACCUUCCAUUUACGCCAUUGUAGCAUUGUACUAUUCACCAUUUUAGCUGUUUAAAUGAAAUUGUUAUUUUUUUUUCCAAAAAUAAAAUGACACCCUUAAAAUUUUAGAAAAUAGCCAUGUAGAUCCCAAAUUUUUAAUAAAGAACACUAAUAUCAUUUUUGACUAUAGUACUCUUAGUAGAUGGUAACAAAAAAAAAUGACUGCAAAAGUUUUUACUAAAUGUAAAUAUGAUUUAAAUAGUUUAAAUUUUCUAGUAGACUAGUAUGUCUAAUUUAAAUAAUUAAUUUUUAAAAUGUAAUUUAAUAUAUUUAUUUUAAUAAUAUAUUUAUCAUAAAAAUUUUAAACAAAUCCUUGGGUUAAAUAGAUUUUAUAAUUAAUAUAAUAUUUCUCAUGUUUUAAUAAUAUUAAAAUUAUUUGAUAUGAUAUUGAAAAUAAUUAAAACUUUUAUAUAUUUAUUUGAAUAUUAUUUCUCUAUUUAUUAUAAUUUGGUUUAAUAGAAUACGAGAUUGUAAAAUAUUAAAAUAUUUUUAGGUAUUAAAAUUAUUUUAAUAUGUACAUAUUAUUAUAUUUAUUUUAAUAUCCUGCUUAUAUUUAUUAUAAAAUAUUAAAAUUAAUUUUUUUAGUUAAUAAAUUUAAAAAUAUAUAUUAUAAUUAAAAAAAGAGUCUUAUUGUCUGUUAUUUACGAUAUGAGGUUCUACAAAAUUAUUUUCAAAAGGAAAAAUAAGUCUAAGGGUUUCAACAAAUUCUAGUCCUAUCUGCCACUAUGACUAAUGGAAACGACAUUGCAAUUGACAUUGCUUUUUGUAAUAUGACAAAUUUUUGGAGGCAUAUGGGAGAAUCAUCAAAUGUUCACACUACGCGGGAGUUUUGGAUGGGAUCAGGGAGGAUUGUCAAGAGUUCACACCACGAGAAACCAAUGAUAGCCCUAAUUUCGCUGUCAGUUCUUUGUUUAUUUAUUUUAUUUAUUUCAUACAUUGUUGUCUUGUUGGCAUUGUUUUGUAAAAUAAAAGUAAAGUAAACUAUUAGGGUGCUGCUAGGUUAAGUUGUUGUAACUUACAGUCCCUUAAAAAAUAAUGUAAAAAAUUUAACAUGUGGUGGGAUCCACAUAUGUUUGAAGAGGCCGUAAGUUACAGUAGUUGUGACUUAGCAAAAUCCAAAUAUUAGACAAUAACGCACAUUAACAAUGCAUAUAAUUUGGGUUUUAUUUUUUUUUAAUUAUUUGAGUAUUAUCUAUCCUUAAGAUAUUAAUGUGAAUAUAAUUUAAUAUUAAAUAAUCAAAAUCUAUUUAAUCAUAAUAUAUAUUUCAUACAUUGCAUGUUUAAUCAAAAUCUGAUUGCUUUUUACCUUCUAUUUCGCCCACUGUAGCAUUCUACUAUUUACCAUUUUAGCUAUUUAAAUGAAAUUUAUUUUUUUUCCAAAAAUAAAAUGACACCCUUAAAAUUUUAGAAAAUAGUCAUGCAGACGCCAAAAUUUUAAUAAAGAACACCAAUACCCUUUUUGACUAUAGUACUCUUAUGGUAGCCACAAAAAAAAAAUGACUUCAAAUUUUUUUACUAAAUGUAAAUAUGAUUUAAAUAGUUUAAAUUUUCUAGUAGACUAGUAUGUAUAAUGUAAAUAAUUAAUUUUUAAAAUGUAAUUUAAUAUAUUUAUUAUAAAAAUUUUAAACAAAUCCUUGGGUUAAAUAGUUUUUAUAAUUAAUAUAAUAUUUCUCAUGUUUUAAUAAUAUUAAAAUUAUUUUAUAUGAUAUUGAAAAUUAUUUUAUAUGUAAAUCAUAUUUACAUUUAAUAGAAUACGAGAUUGUAAAAUAUUAAAAUAUUUUUUGGUAUUGAAAUUAUUUUAAUAUGUAUAUAUUAUUAUAUUUAUUUUGAUAUCCUACUUAUAUUUAUUAUAAAAUAUUAAAAUUAAUUUUUUUAGUUAAUAAUUUAAAAAAAAAUAUUAUAGUUAAAAAAAAAGAGUCUCAUUGUCCGUUAUUCACGAUAUGAGGUUCUACAAAAUUAUUUUCAAAAGGAAAAAUAAGUCCAGGGCUUUCAACAAAUUCUAGUCCUUCUGCCACUAUGACUAAUGGAGACGCAUUGAAUUGACAAUGCUUUUUGCAAUAUGACAAAUUUUUGGAGGGAUAUGAGAGAAUCGUCAAGCUUUCACACCAUGCGAGAGCUUUAGGUGGGAUAUGGGAGAAUUGUCAAGAGUUCACACCACGAGAAAUUAAUGACAAGCCUAAUUUCGUUGUCAGUUCUUUAUUUAUUUAUUUUAUUGAUUUCAUACAUUAUUGUCUUGUUGGUACUAUUUUGUAAAGAUAUAAAAGUACAAGUAAAAUAUUAGGGAAAGUAAAGUAAAAUAUUGGAGGUGAUGCUAAGUUACAGCUGCUAUAACUUACAGUUCCUUCAAAAAUAAUGUAAAAAAUUUAACACGUGGUGGGACCCACAUUAUGUUUGAAGAGGCCGUAAGUUAUAGCAGUUGUAAACUAGUAAAAUCCAAAUAUUAGACAAUAAUACACAUUAACAAUGCAUAUAAUUUGGGUUUGAUUUUUAAAAAAAUUAUAUGAGCAUUACCUAUCCUUAAGAUAUUAAUGAGAAUAUAUUUUAAUAUUAAAUAAUCAAAAUAUGUUUAAUCAUAAUAUGUAAUUCAUACAUUGCAUGUUAGAUUUGUUUGGAUUUUAAGUUGUUGCUAAUAAAUAUUUAUGUUGUGAAAGUCGAAUUCAAUAGCUACAAAAGCAGAGAUACUGGUAUUUUAUGUAGUUUUUAAGAAUACAAGAAUAAGACCAUAAUGCAUGAGAUAAUGGUAUUUUAUAUUAAAAGACCAUAACACAUGUAUUUGAGCCAUUUAUAUUGAGGACACAUAUAAAGCGAAGAGUGCAGAUCCGGCCGUAACUAUUGUGAAGCUUUCCUCAAGUAUUCUCAUGCACACAGCCCUUAUCUGGUCAAGUUCUCUGAUUCAAUAUAAUCAAUUUCCGAGUAGUACUGACGACAGCUUCUCUGUAAAGCUCUUCAACCACAAGCAUUUCUACAAGGCAAAAGACUAGGACGUAUUGGAAUGAAUAUCAAUAAGGGAAUGUCUUAUGAAUUUAGUUUAUAUCCUAAUAUAAGACAAUCAGUAAAUAUUGGAUGCAAUCUAAGGGCUAACAUUUGAUUGAUCAUUAUACGAAAAAAAAAAAAGGUGCAAAAAUACAAAACAUAGCUGAUUGAUGGCCUCUCACAGUCAGUUAUAUGACAAAGUAGCCACCACAACAAACUUUUUUUUUUGAACUGAUUAAGCAUCAGGUUACUGUAUUACACAUAGAGAUAUAUAUAACUGCUAUGACAGCAAGUCAUUAUACUGAUAUUUACAAUCAGAUAUAUACAUGAGACUUAUAUUAUUACAUUUUUAUUAUAUGAAGUACAUGCCCAUCCAAAUCUCCCUCACGGAGGAGGGAUGUCUCUACUCCACUCACAUUUCGCAAGGGAGAAAGACGUUAUAAGAAGUUUUCACCACAACAAACUUGAACUUGGGUGGAGGUCUCAUUAGUAGUAUACCUCAGAAAUUAAGACAAAGACUUUAAAAUGCAAACUUAUGGAGCAAUUUAAGCACUGAAACUAAUAACAGUACGGUAUUAGCAAUUGACCUCUGCUUUUGCUUAGACAAAGGUUUUCAUCACAAUGGACUCAUUAGUUGCCCUUGCCUCACACGUUUGGAUGCUAAGGGGAAAAAGGAAGCUUGAAUUAGUCAAUCUCAUUUCUAAUGGCAUUCACAGAGAACUUAUAAAACAAAAAAAAAAAAAAAUUAUAAAAAAAAAUUCAUCCAUAAAAAGCUUAGUAACGGAAAAAUCGACUCUUUUAUCUGCCACUGACGAAAAAAAAACUGAAGUAUUAAAUAGAUAAAGAAUUUAAUUUUUUUCUUGGAAAAACUAAUAAUAAAUUAACAAUUAGAUAAUACUAUUAAUUAGAGAUCUUUAAUAUUAAGGUUGUCAAAGAUAGAAUGUGUAUAAAAAUUCUUAAUUAUAAGAUAAUUACUAACUAAAAAGAGGCCUAAAAAAGAAGAUUUGCUAUUAUAAGUAAUACCAAAAAUAAAAAGGGAGACUUCCUAAUUGUGUAAUUGGUUAAAAAAGAGGAUUUGCUAUUAUAGGCCUAAUUUGCCUAUGCUUAAAACCGUUCCUGGAUGUAAAAAAAUAAAAAUUAUUGUUAAAUUCCUGACUAAUAAGGUCAUUGAAAGUAUUCAAAGGACCUGAACUUAUAGGAAAGCCAGCCAUGAUGAACUAUACCACGUUGCAAGUGAGCUCGUAUCUUCACCCCUUGAUCUGCCAUCGGCAUUUCUCUUCCACUCACUAUACCAUCCUUUUCAAUCGAUUUUUAUAGAUCAUAAGAGACCAUGUGGCCCACCUUAUUUUUAUUUUGGAUCCAUAACCCAAAGCUGGCCCAAGUUCUGAUUCCAGAAUCAUUUGUCUACAAAGUGACCUCAUUCCGGCAAUUGGUUUAUGCUAAUAGCACGUGCAAUUUUCAUUUUCUUCUUUUUAUUAAUUAAUUUCAUCAUUAUUAUUUGCUUAUUAUUUUAAAAUUAAAGCUAGCAUUUUUCAAAUUAAUUAAUUAAAUUGUAUUAAUGAAAUUAAUCUUUCAUUUUCUUUUCUCUUUCAAUGCACAAAGCCAAACAACCAUUCUCGCUUCAAAUACCGAAGAGCUCCUGACUACGGCUGUCAAUGCUUCUAUAUUUACGUGCUGUGCUGCAUCACUCUUAGCGAAAGCUUGAAUGAAUGAUUAAAGACAAAAGCUUAUAUAAAAGCAGAUGCCGGAGGCAGUCAAAAAGCAUUUGAGAGAGAAGCUAAACAGCAAAUCAUCAAACGCACUUCAAUGACUUUAUUUUGAUUUUGAUUUUUGUUUCGAAAGAAGUAGAAAAGUCCAUGGGUCACGAUAACUGCUUGUCCUAUGCCGUGACCUCAUUGUCCACCGCUAGUGUCAAAUAGAUUAAUCUUUCUAGUAGAUUAAUAUAAUUUAUAAUUUUAAUUUCAGUAUUAAUUUUUAAAAUGUUAGUUGUUAUAUUUAUUUUAAUAAUAUAUCUAUUUUUAGUAUAAAAAAUUUAAAUGUAUAUUUAGAUUAAAUAGAAUUUAUAAUUAAUAUAAUAUAUCUCAUGUAUUAAUGAUAUUUAAAUUAUUUUAUAUAAUAUUAAGCCUAACUUAGAAUUAUAUAUAUUUAUUUUAAUAUUAUGUUUCUAUAUAUUAUAUAAUAUUAAGCCUAACUUAGAAUUAUAUAUUAUGUUUCUGAGCCUCUCUCUAUAACACUAUAUAGAACCCUAAGCCUAAGUGUCACGGGAUGAGUGUUUUGCGCAGCUAACCCGUGCGGCACUUAGACAACUUUGCCGAAUGUUGCUAAGUAAGCCUAGAGAUUCUCGAACAAGAGAAGAGAGCAAUUGAGCCAAAGAAACUUGUAUUGCACAAAGAGAGAUUACAAUGCUUGUUGGAUACAAAUGCCUAAUGCCAUCCCAUAUUUAUAGGGGAGGCUUUGUCAAACUUGGCCUAACUUUGCCAAACUUUGCCAAACUCUAGAGUAUUCUACAAUUUCCUAGCUAUUUACAUGUGCUGGAAUUGUAUAAAGAAUUCUAGAAUAUUUACAUGUUCACAUGUGCUAGAGUUUCCUAGAACCUUCCGGAAUUGGGCCAAGCUAGCACUCUUGGCUUUGUGUUGGCUCUCUAGCUCGAAAUUGGGGCAAUUGGGCUAGCGAAUUGGGCGGUCCGCAACAACCUCCCCCACCUAUGCUCGCGGCGUCCUCGUCGCGCUCUCAUGCUUGAACCUCUGGAUGUGCUCAGCGAAUUGCCACAAACCAUCUUCACGUUCCCAAGUGGCUUCACUCUCGGGGAGGUUUUUCCAUUUCACCAAGUACUCGCUAUGUGCUGGCACGCCCCUCCUCGAAACCGUGCGGUCCGCAAUGAUGUAGUCCACAUCUUUGUCGAAUGCGGUGACAACGGCAGUUGGUGCGCGCCUUGAUUCUCCGCGACCUGGUUCUCCCAUGUCUUCGUGAUAUGGCUUGAGAAGGCUCACAUGGAAGACCGGAUGGAUCUUGAGUCUUGGCGGAAGUUGGAGUUGAUACGAGACGUUGCCCACACGUCGAACAACUCGGAAGGGUCCCUCGUAGCGCCUCACUAACCCCUUGUGAACUUUCCGCAAUGUCUUGAAUUGUUGGGGUAGGAGCUUGAUCAUGACUUGAUCUCCUUCCUUGUACUCAACAUGCCGUCUCCUUGUAUCCGCCCAUUUCUUCAUUUUCCUCGCGGCUUUGUCGAGGUAGGCUCGCGUGAUGUCCGCUUCCUCAUGCCAUUCGCGGGCGAGCUUGUGUGCCGCGGGGCUUUUCCCUCCGUAAGUCGAGGCUAUGGCAUUGGGAGUCAUUGGCUGGAAUCCCAUGAUGAUCUCGAACGGACUCUUGCCCGUAGCCUCGCUUCGCUGCAAGUUAUAAGAAAAUUGGGCGAUGUCGAGUAGCUUCGCCCAAUCCCGCUGGUGAGCGCUCACAUAAUGCCUCAGAUACAUCUCGAGGAGGCCGUUAAUGCGCUCGGUCUGCCCAUCCGUUUGUGGGUGGAAGCUUGUCGAGAACUUGAGAUCGGUCCCCAACAUCUUAAAGAGUUCCGUCCAAAACCGCCCAGUGAACCAAGGGUCUCGGUCGCUCACAAUGCUCUUCGGAACUCCCCAAAGCUUCACAAUGUGCUUGACAAAUAGGCGGGCUGCCUCAUCCGCUUUGCAAUCCACUGGUGCGGCAAUGAAUGUGGCGUACUUGCUGUGUCGGUCGACAAUGACCAUGAUGCUUCCGCAACCUUCGGACUUGGGCAGCGAUGUGAUGAAGUCCAUGGAGACACUUUCCCAUGGCCUUGUUGCUAGUGGUAGCGGCUCCAACAAUCCCGCUGGAAGUUGAUGAUCCACCUUGUCUUGUUGGCACACAAGACAAGUUCGCACAUAUGCCUCGAUGUCGUCCCUCAUGUGCGGCCAAAAAUACGAGGCUUGAACUAGUGCGGUGGUGCGCUCGAUUCCUGGGUGACCAGCCCACUUGGAGUCGUGGCACUCCUUGAUAACUUCCUUCCGCAAAUUUCCCCACCUUGGCACAAACAGCCGAUCUCCCUUGGUGAGGAGGAUGCCUUCCUCUUGCCAAAAUCGCCUUGUCUUCCCUUCGAGCACCUUCUCCAGCAAAUCCUUUGUUAGCGGGUCUUGUUGGAGGCCUUCCUUGAUGCGUGAGACAAGGUCGGACUUCGGUUGGCUCAUGCUAAGUGUUGCCAAUUCCGCCUUGCGGCUUAGAGCGUCCGCAACGACAUUGGCUUUCCCCGGUUUGUACUCUAGCCGAUAGUCGAAUUCCGCAAGGAAAUCUUGCCACCGUGUUUGCUUCGGACUCAACUUCUUUUGAGUUUGAAAGUAGCUUGUCGCCACGUUGUCCGUUAUGAUCGUGAAGUGUGAGCCAAGCAAGUAAUGUCGCCACACUCUUAGACAAUGGAUGAUGGCUGUCAUCUCCUUUUCUUGCACCGUGUAGCGGCGUUCCGUAUCAUUUAGCUUUCGACUCUCGAACGCUAUUGGGUGGCCUUCUUGCAUAAGGACUCCACCUAUGGCGAAAUCCGAGGCAUCUGUUUGAACUUCGAAGGGCUUGGUGUGGUCCGGAAGAGCGAGGACUGGUUCCUCCGAAAUUGCCUUCUUCAACUCCUCGAAUGGACGUUGGCACUCUUCGGAUCAAUGCCACGUUCUGUUUUUCUUGAGCAUAUCCGUCAAGGGUGCCGCCUUGGCUGAAUAGCCCUUGAUGAAAUGGCGGUAGUAAUUCACCAACCCAAGGAACGAGCGAAGCUCGGGUACUUUCGAGGGAGGCUCCCAAUCGAGGAUGGCCUCUACUUUGUCAUUCUCCAUCAUGAUCUUCCCGCCCGCAAUCUUAUGGCCAAGGAACUCCACCUCUUGUUGGGCAAACGAGCACUUCUCUAGUUUGAGGAAGAGCUCAUUGUCUUGAAGUACUUGGAGGACUUUUUGCAAGUGUUGGGCAUGAUCCUCGAGUGUGGUGCUAUACACCACGAUGUCGUCCAAGUACACGACCACGAAGCGGUCGAGGAAUGGUUGGAGUACCUUGUUCAUGAGUGUGCAAAAUGUGGCGGGUGCAUUAGUAAGGCCAAAAGGCAUCACAAGGAAUUCGAAAGACCCGUACCUUGUUGUGCACGCUGUCUUUGGUUCGUCUCCCUUGGCGAUGCGCACUUGGUAGUACCCGGAGCGCAAGUCAAGUUUGGUGAAGUACCGCGCUUUGCCAAGCUGGUCGAACAAGUCCGCAAUCAAUGGAAUCGGAUACUUGUUCUUGAUGGUGAUCUUGUUGAGCGCUCUAUAGUCGAUGCACAUCCGCAGCGAUCCAUCCUUUUUCUUUUGGAAGAGGACCGGUGCACCGAAUGGGGCCUUUGAGGGGCGAACGUAGCCUGCGUCCAGCAAGUCUUUGAGCUGUCUCCGCAACUCCUCUAAUUCGGGUGGCGCCAUGCGGUAGGGCGCCAAGGCUGGUGGCUUCGCGCCUUGUUCUAGCUCAAUCGCAUGAUCUACCUCUCGCGGAGGUGGGAGCUUCUUCGGAAGUUCUGGAGGCAUCACGUCCUUGUACUCAUUGAGGACGGCUUGAAUUCGCGGAGGGACUUGGCUUGGCGACGUUCCGCUAUUUCCUUCCUCGUUUAGUUCCCGAAUGGAGACCAAGAAGCUUGGGUCCUUCUUGAAAGCCCUCUUGAAUUGCAUGGCGGAGAGUUUCUUCUCCUCGGACUUGCCUCGUUCGGUGGGUACCAUGCAUGCUUUGCUCCCAUCGAGGAUGCUUAGGGAGUUUGUAGCGGGCAGCGGGAAGGCAUGGACUUGGUCGAAGAAUUCCAUGCCAAGGACCAUCUUGAAGUCAUCCAUGGGCACAAUGGAGAAAUCAAGCUUUCCGCUCCAUGUACCGAGUGUGAUGUGCACGCCUUGUGCAAUUCCCGCAAUUGGUUUGGCGGGUGAGUUUACUGCCUUCAUUGUGCCUCCUUCCUUGGUGGCCUUGAGGCCUAAACGCUUGGCCUCGUCUACGGACACGAAAUUGUGUGUUGCUCCCGUGUCUAGCAGCGCGCGAACAGACUGGCCGUUUACCUUUGCGCUAACAUACAUGAGCCCUUUCUUGGCUAGUGCGGGCUGUUGGCGGUUGAGUGCCCCGAGGCGUUGGAGAGAACCCAUGCUGAGUUGGGGUUCCUCCGUGGACAUUGUGGGGUUGCUCUUGAGUUGGGCAGCAAGAACAUUAAGCGACCGCUUCUCCGGACAGUCGCGUACCCAAUUUGGACCGUUGCAUAUGAAGCAUGGGCUUCGCGGCUUUGGCGCCUCCUUCUUGCCCUCCGAUUUUCCUUGCCAACUCUUGUUGCUAGACGGCUUUUUCUGCCCCCAAUCUUUGCGGUUGUUACCCUUGUCCUUGCGACUCUCUCCCCCACCUUUGCCUUGGUUGGCCUUUUUGUCCUUGGAUUGGGUAGAGUAUUCGGUGAGCGACUCCGCAACGGCGAUGGCGUCGUCAAGUGUUUGAACACCACGCCUAUCAAGCUCGGUCUUGGCCCAAUCCUUGAGGCCAUCUUGGAAGUAGAAGAGUGAAUCUUUGUCGGACAUGUCACUUAUCUCCAACAUGAGGGUAGAGAACUCGUUAAUGUAGUCCCGAAUGCUACCCGAUUGCUUGAGGCGACGUAAGCGCGCUCGCGCUUCCUUCUCUGCAUUGCUUGGGGUGAACUGCUUUCGGAGUUCUUGCUUGAAGUCGGCCCAAGUGUCGAUGGUGCAAAUGCCCUUGCCCAUCUCGCCAUGCUUGCGACGCCACCAUAGUUGUGCAGCGCCUCUAAGAUAGGUGGGUGCAGUGCCCACUUUCGAUGCCUCAUCUCGUACACCCAUGGCAUCGAAGUAUUGAUCCAGCCCGAACAGGAAGUUGUCCACGAUUGUGGCAUUGCGUGUGCCAUCGUAGGUGUCGGGCUUUGGCACAUCAAUGCGGCGCGCAUCACUCGAGUUUGCGGAAGCUGGACUUGCGGAGAGUGUGCGCUUGUGCCAUGCCCAAUCCGAGCGGACUUCAUCCACUUCCGCACGGACAGCACGUAGUUCGUCCUGAACAAAACUACGAAGUUUUAGCAACUCAUCAUGGAAAGAAUGAAACUCACCUCGGAGAAUGUUCGCUUGCUCAUGCAUGAGAGCUUUUGUGGCCACCGUGAACUCGGCGUAUUCUCCCUCGAGAUUGUCCACUCUUCUCUCUAAUCCCUCAAGGCUAUCUUGAGUGGCGGACAAGGCUAUUUCGAGAGUGCCUACACGAGGCUCCAAAGCAUCCACGGAUGGGGCCUUGGACUUGCCGCGAUUCUUGCCUUGGGCGCGUUCUCCCUCUCGGCCGCGGCUUGGUUCUGGUGGAACAUCCACACCAACAAAACCCUCUUGUGCUACGUUUGAAGGGUUGGCCAUUGCUUUGUGAGCUAAUUUGCGUGCGUGCAAACCUUAGCUCUGAUACCACUUGUCACGGGAUGAGUGUUUUGCGCAGCUAACCCGUGCGGCACUUAGACAACUUUGCCGAAUGUUGCUAAGUAAGCCUAGAGAUUCUCGAACAAGAGAAGAGAGCAAUUGAGCCAAAGAAACUUGUAUUGCACAAAGAGAGAUUACAAUGCUUGUUGGAUACAAAUGCCUAAUGCCAUCCCAUAUUUAUAGGGGAGGCUUUGUCAAACUUGGCCUAACUUUGCCAAACUUUGCCAAACUCUAGAGUAUUCUACAAUUUCCUAGCUAUUUACAUGUGCUGGAAUUGUAUAAAGAAUUCUAGAAUAUUUACAUGUUCACAUGUGCUAGAGUUUCCUAGAACCUUCCGGAAUUGGGCCAAGCUAGCACUCUUGGCUUUGUGUUGGCUCUCUAGCCCGAAAUUGAGGCAAUUGGGCUAGCGAAUUGGGCAGUCCGCAACAUAAGUCUCACAUUCGCAACCGCCCCACAUAUCAGAACCACAGCGAACUGCCUCCGACCCUUCGGACCCAAAAAAAUGAUUGUAUUCCUGCUCUUUCACUUUAAUAAUUUUUUGUAUUAUUCCAUAUCUUUCACUUUAAUAACCCAAAAGCUUUCCUCUGUUUCAACCCAAAAGCUCAAAUUCCUUUUUUCAAUCGAAAAUUGUGUUUGCCUAAUUUUUUAACCAUUUUUAUAUGUCCGUUAAACUUGACAGCCAAUGUGGUCUAUUCGCUAAACAGAGUAAACGAUAACAAUCAAUGGAAAUUGAAACAAAACCCACCAAUCAACAAAACAGAAUAGCCGAGGAAUCCAAUUUCAGGAAACAGCAGUUUCAAAACUCACCAGAGACAAAUGAUAAAACGAAGCUACGCCGUUCCUCGAUCGGUGAUAACUGGCUACAAGGUUUCUUCGCAUUCGUUGGCCUAAUUUUUUAACCAUUUUUAUAUGUCCGUUAUGCUUGACAGCCAAUGUGGUCUAUUCGCUAAACAGAGUAAACGAUAACAAUCAAUGGAAAUUGAAACAAAACCCACCAAUCAACAAUGUGGUCUAUUCGCUAAAUGGUUAAAAAAUCUAACCUUUGUUCACAAUAAUUGUAUUUGCCUCACUGUUUUUGUUUUAUGAGAUCUAUAAUUGAUCUUGGGAUAUUACUUUCUAGUUCUCAUGCAAGCAAGUUACUACCUUCCCACUGCAUCUCCUCCUUUAUCUGCUAUUCAAGAGUUGCGUGCCAUAAUCUGGUGUUACCUCUGCAAGAUUGUGAAUGAAUAUAACGCCUCUAAAUUUAUUUUAUACAUAAUGCUGAUGCUGAAUAAUAUAUUGUAGCUCCUGUCAUAUUCUACUUUGACUUUUUAUAUUCUGUUUCAUAUAAAAAUCUUAUUCAACUUUAGUUGUUCAUGAGCAAAUGUCACAUGUAUAAGCCCAAAUGAUGUUUAAAGGUAGCGCGGCUACCUUUAGUUUGAGCUGACAAUGGAUGAAAAAGAUAUUGAAACUGAUAUUUUGCUGUUUUUCUGAUUUUUCAAAGUAUUUUAGAUCCUGACUUUUGUUAAGUUGUUUCCAACACCUCGUGCCAAAUGAAAGCACAAUCUUUCUGAUUCAGAUGUCUUGUUAAUUAUGCUUCAUUUUUUCAUUAAAGAUUGGAUGGUUACAUGGAUUGAUGGAGUUGGAGUUCAACCAAUAAUUCUAAUUUUUUGGACUUAAAAUGCCUUUUUCUUCUGUAUAAAAACUUUAGUAAGUGCUAUUGAGUUGACAGAAGUUGCAUACUUACAGGUUGUUUCACACUUUUUAGUAGUUUUACAUAUAUGAAUUUCUGUUUUUUGAAUUGCAGAAAGGAGGUGGAACUAUUGAUUUGGAGCCUUAUCUUACUCACUCAUCGACAACGGAGCCUACCCUCACUCCCAUGGCAGUGGAACGGACAACGACUACUAGGGCUGCAACAUCAGUUGGUUUGGGUCUGUUUUGGGUUUAUUGUCAUUUAUUUGGGUAUGUUUUGAUAGCGAAUUUUGAUAUGUCAAUAGAAUGUGUAAUUGUUUUGGGUUGAGCUGGUAAUUAUGCUGGAUUAGAUUGGUUUGGUUUUGGUGCUUCUCUGAUGGAACACUGCUUUUUUUAGAAAUUUUGAAUGUAAUAUGAGACUACAUUUAGUUUAAUUGAACACUGCAUCUAGUCUAAUUACUAGAAGUGUGGCAUUUGGUUUGGUUUAUCCGAUAUUCUCCAGAAUUUCACUUGCAUCUGGUUUUGUUGCAUAUGUUUGUUUGCUUGCAUUUGAUGGCAGUAGCAGACUGUUUGUUUUUGUGACAUUUGAUGGCAGUUUGGUCUGUUCUUGGUGUUGAUUUAAGAUUCUUCCUGUUGUGCUGAUGUUAAUUGCAGGUGCUUGAAUCAGCUAGGGUUGCUGGUUUAUUCAGAUGGUUGACUCAGGCGUUGCUACUGGUUAAUUCAGGUGGCUGACUCAAGUUGUUCAUUUAAUGUUAGGAAGCAAAUUAGGAAUUAAUGAAGUAUUCAUUUAACUAUAAUUAUUGUAGUUAUUUUAUUUCAUAACUGAAUUAUAAUCUAUGAUACUUGUGAACAAAUUAGAGAAUUUUUAUAUAUGAAUUAUAUAUAUGUGUGUGUAUGUACAUUUUGCUAUUUAUAUAAUAAUUUAAAGAAUAUAUUUCAAUUCCCACAAAAAAAAGGCUCCAAUUUCAAUAAUUCCCGCCAAAUAAUUAAAUUUUUUUAAUUUACCACCAAAAUAUAUCUUAAGUUAUUCUUGCUAGAUUUAACAAAAAUAAUUUGUAGGAUUAACAUUUAAUUAAAAUAAUUAAAUAAUUUUAUUAUUCCAAUUAAAUAUGUCAUGCUUAUACGACAGACAAUAAUCAUGAAUGGGAAGUAUUAGUAACAUAUUCUUCCUUGGGAUUUCAGGCAAAUGAAAAAAAGAUUGAGAAUGAUUUCAAGAGGACAGGUGGAUGAUAAAUAUUCAUUUUUGUAUAUUUGGCUAAUGUCCUCAUUAGUGGAUUUUUAUGGUAUUGAUCUUUUUCUUUUUUUAAAAAAAUUUUCAAUUAGUUGCAGCCCUAGAGGAAGAGCAGGCUGAUCAAAUUGAUUUGUCUUGUUUUUCGGGCAAUCUACGACACGAUGACCGUGAUAAUGCUCGUGACUGCUGGAAACUUUCUGAUGGAAAUAACUUUAGAGUUCGUAGCAAGCAUUUUUGUUAUGACAAAACAAAGGUUCCCCCAUAUUUUGUUUGUUUGUUAUGGUAUUUAUAUAUCCUGCAUAGGCUAGGUAGACAGGUUAUGAUGUAGUUUGGUUGGCUCUUCUUGUGCUUUGUGCAAUUUGUAACUGCAGAUACCUGUGGUAAAACAUUUAAUGGAUCUUGUUGCUGUUGAUUGGUUCAAAGACACAAAGAGAAUGGACCAUGUAGCUAGGCGUCAAGGCUGUGCUGCACAAGUAACUAUUCUUUUCUUUUUAUUUAAAAAAAUAAAACACAUUGCCAACAAGGAUCUCUUCAUUGAACAUGUGUCUAGUUCUGAUAAGCUAGCUGAUGUGCUUACCAAACCUCUGAGUUUUGAUCAUUUUGCCUAUAUGCAAACUAAGGUCAAUGUCUGCCCAUGACCUUGAGCUUACGGGGGCAUUUUAAGAAUAACAUAUGCUGAGUCAUCAAGCCAUGCUGGAAGUCAGUUUUGCAGUUAGUUAGAGAGCUUAUCAGCUUCCCUCCAAAAGUUUGUUAUGUGUAUUAGAAUCUGGGCUCACGAGUUUUGUGAGAUUGUAACCUUGAGAAGAUUCUCACACUACUAUAAAUUGUAUUGUGACUCAAUUAAUAAAAUAAGUUGAAGCUUUGCAUUUUCUCUCAGUCAAAAUUUUCUCUCUAUUUUUCUAAGUAACCAAACAAGAUCUACAGAGCAUUUUGUAUUUUAACUGGAGCGGCUGAUUGGUGCUGUACGUGUUACAUUUUUACUUUUUUAACUCAAGUCUGCUGUUGUCCCAAAGUUGGAACUAGAGAUAUCAUUUCACCUCAACUGUGUUUUUUUUUUAAUUAAAAAAAUCAUUUGUUUUAGGUAUACAUACAUGUAUUUUAAUUCUAUUUUCCUUGUAAUUUCUCCUUUACUUUGAAUGAAAGUCAUUGGUGUUUUCGAAUGGGAAUUUUGCAUUAAAAAAUUAAGAAUAGUUAAUAGGAAAUUUCCUGAUUCUUUAGUUACUAUUUUUGGUAUGAGUGUAAUUAGUAGUAAAGUUGGUUUCUACUCGCAAACAAGUGAACUGCUCGAUUCCCAAGUGCUAUUAACCAGUUUCCAACUUUUUAAUAUACACUAAUUGUUCCUGUUUAAUAGCUACUACUAUUAAAACUCAACAGCUAACAAAAAUACUAAAAAAAAAUGAUUUUUUCUUAUGAUGCUGUGAAAAAAAUUACGGGUUUACUUAUUUCCACGAGAUCUUGUAUAGUGUUCUUGUAUAGUGGAAUUAAGAUUGUCUUCCCGAUGGUGCAAUUCACCCUCUUCCUUUACAGUCACUUGCACUUUGUGCAGCUUUGGUGUGGAUAAGAUUCCCAGGGAAAAAGUCUUCAUGUUCGGACAAUGUGUCACAAAUACUCGUUCCAAUGAUGGGAAUUCAAGAGUGUAAUUCUCCAAACAAAAGCUGGUAAGCCUUGGUAAAUCAUCAAGUUCCAAAAGUUUUAAUUCUUUGAAAGCAAUACGAUUCUCCUUCGUUUCUUCUCCAGCAUGUCCUACGAUUUGUUCUAAUUUUUUGCAGUUCCAUACAUAAAGAUUCACCAGACUAGUAGGAAUUCCAACCUGAAAAUAAGCAGAGAGUGUGUGUGUGUGUUAAAAAAGUAAAAAUGUAAGAGUGUCAUUCAACUAAGCUCAAAGUAUGUUUGAUAAUACAAUUAUACGUUUUAUGAACAUAACAAACUGUGAAAUGUCUACUAGAUAUUUUUUGUUAAACAAAAAACGUAACAAGAUAAAUAAAUAAAUAAAUAAAAGCCAGAUAAACAAAGAUGAUAAAAAUGUAUUUACACUAUUUAGUAUUAGGGACGUAGAAAGAAUUUAAGGCAAUUUCUAAAUAUUUUAGACUUAUUUUGCAUCUUGAUAUAAGUUUUUAAGCAUAAAUUUGCACAUUUCAACUAUUCCUUUAAAAAGAACUCAACUAAAAUGCCUCUUUUUCCCUUUUCCUUGGUCCCCUUUUUUUUAUAUAUAUAUAAAAAUGGAAAAAAAAAUUUGGAAAAGACUUCUUAGUACUGUCAACAAGGGAUUGCUGUAAAGUGGAUCUUUAUUAAGUACUUCCAGACUCGAGGAAAUUUCUUUACAAUCUCAAAAAAAUAGUAAACAAUCAUGAAUUUGUGGUUAAUUAAUGGCAUAAUCAAUUCUUAACUAAACUGGAGAUAUUAAUUAAAUUUGAAGACUUUUUUUUUCCGAUCGAAAUGUGAAGAACUAUGGAACAGAGAAAUAUAUAGAUGAAUUUGUGAACUUAUAAGAUGAGUGACUAUCCUUUAAUUUUUGAAAAUCGUACUUAUUAAGAUAUGAGCAAAAACAAUUAAAUUGAAUUAUAUUAUGCUGUUGAAUCUGUUUAAAAAAAUUAUAUUGUUGAUUCUAAUGCUGGUGAACCUAAAAACUAGACUUAAAACGUAGAUUUCAGAGUGGUGGUUUGAAGUACAAUAUUUGAAAUAAAUAAUUAGUGGCUGAAUAUCAUUUGUAAACACAGAAAUGAUUAAAAAAUUGUUGAAUGUUAUUUGAAAAAAAAAAUCGAAAUGAAUACAGAAACCUUACCAAUGGAGGAAAAAUAUUCAUUAGGUUAUCACACUCUUCUAUCUCCAAAUUCUUCAAUUUCCUGAAAGACUCUGAAGCAAGCUGGUGGUGCCAUAUUGUUCUUAGGUUAUCCAUCCACGCAAUAUAUAAUACCUCCAACCUAGGAAGUCGUACCUGGCAGUUAAAGAUUAAAUAACUAAUUAAUCAAUUAAUGGCAUAAUCAAUUGAUAACUAAAUUAGAGGCGGAUAUUAACUAAAUUUGAAGACUCAAGGAAAAGACAAAUCAAGUAUUGUGACUAAAAUUAUUUUUUUAAUUAAAAAAAAAACCUUUUCAUCAAAGAGAGGAGGAGGUUGCAUUUCAGAAUGAAUGGUAUCUUCUGGUGAGCUCGUAGAGAUGAAUCUUAACAUAUUACUGCAACAACCAAUCAUGAGGUUUAGCAAAGAAGGGAAUUCAACAACUAAAUCUGUAUGAAUAUGUCCCAUAUUGGCAAAGCUACUUAGUCUUGGAAGCCAUUCUAGCUGCAGGGAGUGUAGCUUAGGAAAAACCUUUAAUUCAAUCAACUUUCCUUCAUCUCUUUCUGACCAUCCCGUGGUGUCGACUACCCCUUCCAUUGACUCACAAUAGCUUAUCUCAAGAUGUUGGAGUUGCAAAAGGCUAUUAACCAUAGAAUAUGAAAACAGAUACUUCAGACGAUAACACCUUUCCACAGUCACUUUUGUUAAAUUUUGACAACAGUACAUUCUUUGAUUAUGAUCGGCCCAUAAUUUUUUCAUGUUUCUUAAGUCCCUGAGAUUCAAUUCCUCUAAGCUCGGAAGAAUAACCUGCAAAGAAAACCCGUACAUUUUUGUUCCUUCAAGUACAACCGUCUAGUAUAAUAUUCUUUUGAUGAUCGAAGAUUAAUCGUGAUAAUAAAUUAAUCAAUUAAUUAUUGAACAGAAAAUUAUCACCUUUGGAGCAGGAUCAUCAUCAGCAAUGAGUUCCUUGAAUCCCAAAGAAGUUGUUGGUUUGUCCAUGUCGGGUCCUAUAAACAAACAAAAACAAUAUACAUAAUUAAUCUUUGUCGUUGUCUUUUUUUUAAAAAAAUAAUUGAGGCGAAGUCCAUAAAUCCACCAACACUUAAUUUCAACACUUACCAACAAUCAUUUCCAGAUCAUCGCAAAAAAACACUUCUACCUUUUGAAGCCGCAGUAGGUUUUUGGCCAUGGAGAAUGAGAAAAGAUGCUUCAAUUCGUGACAGUCUGAUACUUUUAUAAUCCUUAAGUUGCUGAAAGAUUGAUCUUCUGUGAGUUGGAUGUCACAUAUUGUCUCCAAAUUGAUCAAACGACGAAGAGACAAUGACUCCAGCAAGGGGAAGACUUUGCGACGAACCCGUCCAACUGAACAGACAAUAUGCAAAAUCUCAGAACAACUUUUUACAGAAAGAUGCUUCAAUCGUGGAAAACCUUCCCCAUCAUCUAAUUCAUGAACAACAUUCUGAACACCCUUCAGUUCUCCUAGAUAGAGAUAUUCAGUUCUCUUCAACAACAGUUUCAUCCUGUAAUUCUGCAAAAGAAUGCCAAACUUUUCUAGCCCCUGGAGCUUCAUCAAUCUUGAUAAUCCAGUUUUAACGGACCAGCUGCUCCACCACUUAUUUCCUAUACAUAUCUUAUAGCUUUGCAAUUCCACAGAGACCAAAUCCUGCGGUAGAAUUUCGGCAUCCCGAACGUGUAUCUCCAAAGUAGUUAGCUUUGACAACCCCUUCAACUCAA